CCCCGUGCUAAAUCCCGCCCCGCCUGCCGCCUGCUCCUGCAGCCGCGCGGACCGCCGCGGCCCCUCACCCGACUGCUGGGACGGGGACGCAUACGACUGCAGUUCUCUCGCCGGCGUGUUCUGCAGCCCGGCUGCCACGGAGGUGCGGUGGAGCCAGGGGUCCAGAGCCACCGGGUUAUUGUGGAAAUGCUGCGCCGCCGUGGUGGUCAGCACUCCAUACAAAUGCUGGAAACACAAACAGCCAACUGCCCCACAGCCACGUGGACCCACAUAUCCCUCCCCCCCCCGCCUCCUUAGGGGCACCAUCAGAUGGGCCACACAUUGCCACCUGCCAUACCUGCAUCAGCACCCCAACUCCUAGUCCCAGCCUGAUUAUACAAUGCACCAUGUGCCAACACUCCAUACAAAUGCUGGAAACACAAACAGCCAACUGCCCCACAGCCACGUGGACCCACAUAUCCCUCCCCCCCCGCCUCCUUAGGGCAGGGCACCAUCAGAUGGGCCACACAUUGCCACCUGCCAUACCUGCAUCGGCACCCCAACUCCUAGUCCCAGCCUGAUUAUACAAUGCACCAUGUGCCAACACUCCAUACAAAUGCUGGAAACACAAACAGCCAACGGCCCCACAGCCAUGUGGACCCACAUAUCCCUCCCCCCCCGCCUCCUUAGGGGCACCCACAGGUGGGCCAUGCAUUGUCACCUGCCAUACCUGCAUCGGCACCCCAACUCCUAGUCCCAGCCUGAUUAUACAAUGCACCAUGUGCCAACACUCCAUACAAAUGCUGGAAACACAAACAGCCAACUGCCCCACAGCCACCUGGACCCACAUAUCCCUCCCCCCCCGCCUCCUUAGGGGCACCCACAGGUGGGCCAUGCAUUGCCACCUGCCAUACCUGCAUCGGCACCCCAACUCCUAGUCCCAGCCUGAUUAUACAAUGCACCAUGUGCCAACACUCCAUACAAACGCUGGAAACACAAACAGCCUACUGCCCCACAGCCACCUGGACCCACAUAUCCCUCCCCCCCCCCGCCUCCUUAGGGGCACCUAGAGGGAUGGCUCCUGGCUCUCAGGACGGAAUACCUGUGAGCAGGUUCGGUGGAUUCCUGAGCCCCAGUUUGCUCCUGCAGAGGCAACUUAGCCCUGGCUAUAGUGUCCCUGUCAGGGCCCUUUCAUCAAUUGUCCAAACACUGCAGGGCAGCGUCAAACCAUAGUGGUACUAGGGGAACAUUGUUCAUAAAUGUUAUCGUUCCCCAAGGCUCAUGACAUGGGAAGACACGUUCCACAACUACUCAAGCACAACUACUACACGGCUAAGACCAUGCUCUUCUUGUAAGACCAGGCUCCUCUAGCUCCUCUUUAUCCCUCACAGCAGUUUGCAAGUUCAUGCUGCAAGUCCAUACUCCAAGGGUGACAGCCGCAAGAGUGGUAUGGUGUAGGCAUCAUCUAGUCCAUACUCUGACAACUGCUGCAACAUAAGCAACAACUGAAUAACAACUCUGCUACUAUGCACACCGUAUAUACCUAUGCACACAGUCAUAGCAAAGGUCAUAGCAAAGGGGCAAACCUUGGUUGUGCCCACAUCAACACAACCCACAUCAACGCACCCCACAGACUGAUGUCUGGUUCUGGUGAGGUUCUUUGCCCUAUAUUUAUCAUGAAUGGCACCUCCCCCCAAUACACAUAUGCAUUAUUACUCUGAUAUACUAGUAGGCCAAGACACACAGUCUCUCAGGCAAUCCAGGUUUCACGCCUUUUGUCCUUGUUGUACCGAUUAUAUCAGUCAGACGCCUCAAUGAAGUUUGAUGGAAGCGGUUGUUUCCGAGGGGGCUUCCAGCCAGGGCUCCCCGGAUGGCACAAGCUUGGCGUUCCGCAGGGUAAUCCUGCAGACAUAAUGGAUUAUAGAAAUGAAGGAAUGUACUGUCAGGUAAGGCUUUCUAGACUUUCAGGAUCUCAAGGAAUCUGCCAUUUGACAUCCCUGACUAGCCUGUCCACACAUCUGCUGCGAAGUAGCACGGCACCCCAGCAGUGAAGAAACUGCGUAGCUUUGCAUGCGCAACAGUGUGAUGUUGGGGAAGGGUAAGAUUAAAAGGACAAGUGAUUGAGAGGGUGGAAGGGGGUGGAUGUCAGUGCACAGUGCAUUGUGAGGGUAGCCCAGUUGUGACGUGGUUGUGACGUGGUUGUGACUGUGACUGUGACUGUGACUGUGUAAAAGACAGUUCAGGGUGUGAAGAGAAACAAACGUUGAACGUACCUGGCUUUGCGCGACAUCCAUCCCAGCAGGUGGGCCACUCAGAGGGGCCGCAGGCGGGAUAUAGCUGAGAAUCCCCCCUGCUGCAGCAGCCAUAGGCAUGCAUGCAUGAGGGGCAGGCCAUACAGCGACAUAGCAAAGAUCACAAAAAAGCAACAUACCAAGUGCCGGUACAGCGGGGAGUAUUAAGGUGGGCAUGAUGUGAGCCGGCAAGGUAGGAGGUGUGGGGACGAUGUUGGGAUACAGAGAACCGAUAUGACAUCUCACGGAAUACACUUGCAGUGUCCGCCCCCAGCCCCCGUGUGCCACUCGAUUGCCACGCUCUCCUCCUCACCCUAUUGCAUUGGGUUUGGUUUAGUUUGCAAUGGUAUCUACAACCCCCACCCCCACCCGGCCCCGCCACCCGGCCCGCCACCUGCCUUGCAAUGCAAGCCCGGGUCGCAGCCUCAGGACAUUCAGUGGCAUGCCUGGGUGCAUGUGGCGGCGUGCCCCGACACGGCGGCAUCCAGGUAGCAUCACAGCCAGCGCUCGUAUCUUAAGCAGGCAGGGGCGGCGUCAGUGGCCGAAUUCCUUAAAAUGACUUCGUUUGGUUGACGAAACAGGCUGCCGCUGCUUCGUUCACCCCCAAAAUUUUUCCGGAGGCUCUGCCCCCGACCCGCACGGUUCGUGCGGUGGUGUCGGUGAUCUUGGCGGACGCCAAGCAAUUGCACGGGAAUAUAACAGUAAACCAUUGCCCCAGAACAUUCUCAGAUGUCAACACCGACACGACCCGCACACUCCUCCCCUGCUUGCCGCCGACCCAACCUCAUUCUCCCGCCGUCAACACCCAUAGAUACAGCCCUCUGAGUCUUCUGACCAUAUGCCAUGCAGGUUUCGUUCGGCCGUGGGGUACGUUAGGUACGUAGCCGCUGGAACCCCCUUGUCCUUCGGCCAAAAGUGGCCGCAAUCCCAAAAUGUCUUCGUCUGUUUGCCGAAAACCCCCCCAAGAUCCCGUGCCUUUGGGCCGAAAAUUCAAGUCAAGAUCACAAAAAUUUCUUCCGCAGGAGACCUUUUUGGGCAAAUUUCGUUCCGAACGAAGGAAGAUACGAGCGCUGAUCACAGCAGGUGGUGACAUGGUUCGUGCCGUCCGCCCCCAGCCCCUACCCCCACCCACCGCCACAGCGCGAGGCGUCCUAUACGAGACAUUGCCCAAAUAGGUAGCCGUAGCGAAAGAGCGGUGAAGUGGCCGGAGGAAGGGAAGGCAAAAUCGUGUCGGCGCAGAUUUGGGAACGGGAAGGGAGUGGGGAGCGGGGCCCACUUGGGAGGGCUCAGUAUCGGGGACAGGCAGGGGAAUGGAGAUGGCAGGUGCGCCACGGGGCCUGGUAGCGGAGGAGUGUGCACACACCCAUGGAUGCGCAUCAGCAAACUUCCAGCCAGCCAGCAACUUUUCGGUACAGUAACUCCGGCGUUCGUCCAGCCGCGCACUCCUGCCCUGCCGUUGCAAAGUGUUUGCCAUCUUCUGGGGGCUGAGAGUUUGCUGCACCCUGCGGGACUUCACCAAUAACCUGCCUGGACACUGCCCCAUCGCACACCAACGGAUGCUGGGGCCAUACACGCGAGGGCGGGGGGAUGCGGGGACGCAGCCACGAAGGACACAGUAUUAGCGUCAGGAAUGCCGGGAGAUGAUGUGGGUAGAUAGGCCGCUGGUCGUCAGCGGUGUGGCCGGGCUGCAUCGGGACACACACACACCCCUGUCCCGGGACAGGCCGCCAUGGGGCGGUGUGGUCGGGCGCGUAAGCCUUGGAGGCAGCAAUAGAGAGCGCUAUGCCUUACAAGGUAGACGUAGCUACCGACCGCCCAAGUCAAGUUAACCCUUGUACGGAAGACACUCUUGGCACUUCACCAAUGAGACUUAUUGAAGUGCUCGCCUGCUCGGCCCCAUUCGCCCGGCCCCAUCGCAUCCGUACCACCCGCGACCCUCGCGGAAGUACGCGGAAUCCCUCCACACAGUUACCCUUCCACCCACACUGGGAGCAGUCUAUCAGACUGCGCGGAAAGGACGACUAGUUUCGCGACGAUCCCACCACACCCACCCGUCGCGAAGAGGAGAACCCGGAACACACAAUACACACAGCAGCACUAGGAACACAAGGCCCCAUCACACACCAACCCUAGCAACGAAACAGCAUACAUACGACCGCCAGCAACGGACUACUCAGCCUCAACUGCGGAGGGCUCCAGGUGGCGGUCGGGGUCCAGGUACCGCCGCAGCGUGCCCACGCUCCGCAUCUGAGCCAGCUGCAGCAGGGCGUCCAGGCCAGCGCCGGUGGCUCUGGCGUGCUGCAAGGAGCCGCGGCGGAAGCUGUGGCAGGUCUCGCCCUCCCCCAGACCCGCUUGCUCCAAAUGGCGGCGGAGGCGGUAAUUGAGGUCGGACGUGCUCAUAGCCCGUUCCUCAAAACCGCGCCGGUCAGCCCGCAGGGGCCGGAACAGCCAGUCACCCACCGCCCAGCCGCCCUCAGAGCACAGCUUCAAGUACACCGCCAGGCAGCGCACGAAACACUGGGAGGUGACGGGCGCGGGGGCCAGGUCGCGGGCGGGGGCGCGACGCCCCUGGUAGGUCUUGGUCCCGAGCUGGCUCACCACGAGGGUGGGGAAGGCGGUGAGGGGCGUCCCCAGAAGGGGGAGGGGAAGGGGAUACCUGGAGUAGGCGGAGGAGGAAUUGGCCGGGUCACGAAGAUCGCUCAGACGCAGCCGCCCGCAGUCGUGGCCGCGCGUGGUGGUGUGCCACAUGAACUGGUAGCACAGCAGGUCGCGGUACAGGCACGCCUCCUCGAUCCCGGCGGUGGAGGGGGCGGCGUUGAGCAGAUAGCGGCACAGCUGGGCGAACUUGUCAUACGACAGAGGCCGGGCGGAGCGCUCCUGGUACCCGCCGGCGCCGGCCUGACGCCCGUACCCACGACGGUACAGGCGGACAUCCGUAGACUCGCAAGGGUUGCCGCGAGGCGUAUCCUCGGUCCAGGGCCCCUUGCGACCGUACAGCUCGAAGCCACCGGAGAGCAGGGAAAGAUGGGUGAGCACCGAGCUGGGGCUGGGGCGCCCGCCAGCAGCGCGCCCACGAUGUGUAGAAACCCAGUGCCGCUCCAUGUAGAUCAGCACGUGCUCGGGGGUGCAGGAGUGGGCAGACACGCCGGAUGCGCGCCCCAGCAGCCAGCCCUCGAACUCAAGCAUGGCAGCCUCGCGUGCCCGGCGGGUAGACGGAGCAUGCGCGUGCGCCUGCACAGCAGCCACGGCGGGCAGGCUGCCCAGCAGGUAGGAGCUGGAAGCGGAGGCAUCCAGCACGAUGCGUGGAAUGGCGGGCAGAGGGGCGGUGGAGUAGCGGAACAGAGACAACCGCAACUGCGAGGGCGGAGACACAAGCACAAGGAUGUGUUAAGAAGGCUAUCAUAGGAGACGCGCCGAGCCAAGAAGAAGCCAAAGAACAGCGAUUCACGCACCGGAGGCGAAGCGGCGGGGAGCGGAUCCGGAAGCGCGGGGAGAGGCAGCCCCAAGAGACUUGAACCAGAAGAAGAAGCCGCCCCAAAGGCGCCCUGCGAGGGCGCGCAUAAGCGUUAUGGGCCAAACAACACAAGGACUGGCGGCGAGCCUCACCGCCGCGAACCCAGAGCCAGACCCAGGCGUGGACAAGACGUUGCUCAGGACAGGACGAGCAGUCGCCGAAGGCGGGUCACCGAACACGCCACGCCCGGGACCGGCCUGGAAAAACAGUGAACGAUUCCGGUCACCAAGCAGCACCAAAGGUCGUAACAAGAGCAGAUUAAUAUAGAGCGUAUCGGAAACCCACCAGAAGGCCAAGAGAAAUUCCGUGCAUUGAGGUUCGUCACGGGGCGCGUAAGCCUUGGAGGCAGCAAUAGAGAGCGCUAUGCCUUACAAGGUAGACGUAGCUACCGACCGCCCAAGUCAAGUUAACCCUUGUACGGAAGACACUCUUGGCACUUCACCAAUGAGACUUAUUGAAGUGCUCGCCUGCUCGGCCCCAUUCGCCCGGCCCCAUCGCAUCCGUACCACCCGCGACCCUCGCGGAAGUACGCGGAAUCCCUCCACACAGUUACCCUUCCACCCACACUGGGAGCAGUCUAUCAGACUGCGCGGAAAGGACGACUAGUUUCGCGACGAUUUAGGAGAGAGUUUUGCAACAACACGCUUAGGACGGCCCAAGCACUUUGCGUAGGAUAGAUAAUACACUGGAGUAGGAGACUACUCCGAAGAAUAGAGGAAGCAAGAAAGCUCAGAGCUCGGAGCUCGGUUCAUCGGUCGGCCUCGGCGCAAAAUGGUAAGCCACGGUAAGUAUCAUUAGUAGGGCGAGAUAAUAGAUGUUAAGAAAUGCACGAAAAGGCACCCGAACACAUGGUCCAGCCCAGUCAAGGUCAGUCAACGGGGCCGAUAGCAUGCUACAACCCACGAGAACAGUUUGGCGUCAAGCCCGAGGAGCUAAGGCAACAUCGCGGCAGUAGACUAAUCACCUAAGCAAGCAGCGGCUGGGGCCCAAAGGUCAAACGCAGCACGGUGAGGGGCGAGGGCGCGGGGCUGCACCAAGCGGCGGGAGGGGGAAGCCGGCCAGGCUGAGCGCGGGAAGCCGGGGUCGCACUAAGCGGCGGGCGCGGGGCCAUGCGGGAGUAAGGGGCGGCAAGUCCAGGGUUGCGCCAAGCGGCAGGUGCGGGGGGCAGGCGGCAAGCCAGGGUUGCACCAAGCCGAGGGUGCACGGGGCAGGCGGCAAGCCAGGGUUGCACCAAGCCGCGGGUGCACGGGGCUGGCGGCAAGCCAGGGCUGCACCAAGCGGCGGGUGCAGGGGGCAGGCGGCACGCCAGGGUUGCACCAAGCGGCAGGUGCGGGGGGCAGGCGGCAAGCCAGGGUUCCACCAAGCGGCAGGUGCGGGGGGCAGGCGGCAAGCCAGGGUUGCACCAAGCGGCGGGUGCGGGGGGCAGGCGGCAAGCCAGGGUCACGCCAAGCCGCAGGUGCGGGGGGCAGGCGGCAAGCCAGGGGGACACCAAGCGGCAGGUGCAGGGGGCAGGCGGCAAGCCAGGGUUGCACCAAGCGGCAGGUGCGGGGGGCAGGCGGCAAGCCAGGGGGGCACCGAGCGGCAGGUGCAGGGGGCAGGCGGCAAGCCAGGGUUGCACCAAGCGGCAGGUGCGGGGGGCAGGCGGCAAGCCAGGGUUGCGCCAAGCGGCGGGUGGGGGGGGCAGGCGGCAAGCCAGGGUUGCACCAAGCGGCGGGUGGGGGGGGCAGGCGGCAAGCCAGGGUUGCGCCAAGCGGCGGGUGGGGGGGGCAGGCGGCAAGCCAGGGUUGCACCAAGCGGCAGGUGCGGGGGGCAGGCGGCAAGCCAGGGUCACGCCAAGCCGCAGGUGCGGGGGGCAGGCGGCAAGCCAGGGGGACACCAAGCGGCAGGUGCAGGGGGCAGGCGGCAAGCCAGGGUUGCACCAAGCGGCGGGUUCGGGGGGCAGGCGGCAAGCCAGGGUCACGCCAAGCCGCAGGUGCGGGGGGCAGGCGGCAAGCCAGGGUCACGCCAAGCCGCAGGUGCGGGGGGCAGGCGGCAAGCCAGGGGGACACCAAGCGGCAGGUGCAGGGGGCAGGCGGCAAGCCAGGGUUGCACCAAGCGGCGGGUGCGGGGGGCAGGCGGCAAGCCAGGGUCACGCCAAGCCGCAGGUGCGGGGGGCAGGCGGCAAGCCAGGGGGACACCAAGCGGCAGGUGCAGGGGGCAGGCGGCAAGCCAGGGUUGCACCAAGCGGCAGGUGCGGGGGGCAGGCGGCAAGCCAGGGGGGCACCGAGCGGCAGGUGCAGGGGGCAGGCGGCAAGCCAGGGUUGCACCAAGCGGCAGGUGCGGGGGGCAGGCGGCAAGCCAGGGUGGCACCAAGCGGCGGGUGCGGGGGGCAGGCGGCAAGCCAGGGUCACGCCAAGCGGCAGGUGCGGGGGGCAGGCGGCAAGCCAGGGUGGCACCAAGCGGCGGGUGCGGGGGGCAGGCGGCAAGCCAGGUUGGCACCAAGCGGCGGGUGCGGGGGGCAGGCGGCAAGCCAGGGUUGCACCAAGCCGAGGGUGCGGGGGGCAGGCGGCAAGCCAGGGUUGCACCAAGCCGCGGGUGCACGGGGCUGGCGGCAAGCCAGGGCUGCACCAAGCGGCGGGUGCGGGGGGCAGGCGGCAAGCCAGGGUCACGCCAAGCGGCAGGUGCGGGGGGCAGGCGGCAAGCCAGGGUUCCACCAAGCGGCGGGUGCGGGGGGCAGGGGGCAAGCCAGGGUCGCGAAAAGCCGCGGGUGCACGGGGCAGGCGGGAGUACGGGGAGGCAAGUCCAGGGUUGCACCAAGCGGCAGGUGCGGGGGGCAGGCGACAAGCCAGGGUUGCACCAAGCGGCAGGUGCGGGGGGCAGGCGGCAAGCCAGGGUUGCAGCAAGCGGUGGGGGCGCGGAGGCAGGGCACUGAGGGCAGGCAGAAUGCGGGGCGGCAAGUCAGGCUUGCGCCAAGCGGCAGGUGCCGGGGCAAGGAGACGGCAGGCCAGUGUUGCACAAGCGCGGCGGGACGCAGGGGCAGGGCAGAUGGAGUGCGGGGGCGACAAGCCAGGGCUGCACCAAGCAGCGGGGAGGCGGAGACAGGACAGGCGGAGUGCGGGGCGGCAAGCCGGGGGUUGCGGCGGGUGUGCGAGGCAAGGGCAGAUGAAGCGCGGGGCGGAAGCCGAGGGUUCGUUGCGGCAUACAGCGGGUGCGCGCGGGCAGGGCAGGCGGAGGGGUAUGUGGGCCAGAGGUACAGGGCUACUGACACCAAGCAGUGGGGGCGCUGGAGGGGAGCAGAAGGAGGGCAGUGAGACAACCUGGGGUAGUGCCAAACGAACCGGGCAGGGGGACGAAGAGCCGGCAAAAAGAAGCGUUGCGAGAUGUGGUGCUACAAAGGAGAAGGCAGUAGGCCAAUCGGCGCCCCAGGAGGAGCGGUAUGAGAGUAGCGAGGGCAAGCCGGGGCUGCGACAAGCGACGGGGGCCACGCACGGAGCGGAGCACAAGCAGGCGACUCAGCCCGAGUGACGGGGGCGCUGGGCGAAGCAGGCUGAGGGCAGCAAGAGCAAGCCGGGGCCACACUAAGAGACGUAGGCAUGGGGCAGAGCAGGUAGGCGGAAGGAGGCGCAGGCAAGUCAGGGGGCCAAGUGGCGGGGGCGUUGGGGACUCACCGGCAGAGGGCUGAGAUGGCAAACCAGGGGUUGCGCCUAGCGGCGGGGGGCUCUGAAAAGAGCAGGAGGCGGGCAGCGAGGGCACAACUGGGCUUUGCGACAGGGGCACGGGGGAGAGCAGGCGGAAGGAAGCGCGGGCAACUCAGGGGAGGCGCCAAAUGGCGGGGGCGUUGGAGAAGAUCCGCCGGCAGAGGACUGAGAGGACAGCCCAAGGGAUGUGCCUAGCGGCGGGCGCGUGGGGAAGAGCACGCUGCGGGCAGCGAGGGCAAACAGGGUUCAUCACGCCGGGGGCUCGGGGGUACGGGGCAGAGCAGGUGGCAGGGAGCGAUGGCCGUGGGGCUGCGCAGGCGGAGGUGAGGGCAAGGGGGUUAGCAGGGAUCCCGUCGUCAUCGGCACGUAUGCGGGACAGGCGGGGGCGGGGCAGCAGGGGAAGGCGUGGUGGAGGUGGCGGAAGGGCACGGGAUCCAGACUGCACGUAGCAGGGGUGCCGGUAAACGGACUGGAUGACUCGCCAGGGACUGCUCGCGGUGUUGUCGUGGAGUUGUGGAGGGUUACCCGCCACAGGUGGCAGCCCAGGGAUGGCACACAACCGAGGGGGCUUUAUUUGGGGGCAGCACUGACGGCAAAAAAGGCUAAGCCAGGGCAAAAGGCAAACAGUGAGCGCGCAAAGAGGAGCAGCCUGAGCGAGGGCAGAGAGGACAAGCUGGGACCCGCGAGUUGGUAGAAGAAGCCAGAGCGAGGGCCGCGAUGUCCCGACAAGCCAGGGGUAGCACCGAGAGAUUGGGGGCGCGGGGCCUGGGCAGCAGGUCGAGGGCGUCGAAGACAAUAGUGGGUACGCCAAGGGGCGGCGCGGGCGCGGACGCGGGGCUUGGCAGGAGCAGGUAGGCGGUGGUGGCAGUGGGUGGCCGCGCGUGAGGAGAGCAGGCAGGCAGAUCGAUGGCAGCGAUGCUGCGGUUUAACGUUGAACCAAUCCGAUGCUGGGGUGCUCAAGCUUAAGAGAAUGCGCGGGGGCAUAGGGGGCAGAGCAGCAAGCCAGGAGAGGCGUCAAGCGGUGCGUGAGCAGGGGCAGAGUAGGCCGAGGUAAGCAAUGACAAGUAAGCCGGGGCGGCGACAAGCGGCGGGGAGGGCAUCCCAGGCAGAGGGCGCGGGGCUGGGGCGACAAGCCAGCAGGAGCCCGCCAAUGGGUGGGGGCGCAGGGAGCAGUACCGGACGAGGCAGCCCGGGCAGCCGAAACUUUGUGAGGCAGAGCAUAGAAGGCGUCACUUGGGAGACCUGCUGACAAGGGGUAGGGCUGCAGGGGGGCCCUACCGGGGCCCCUAGGGAUCCGAGACAGGCGGCGAGCGCGGCCCAGUAGGAGGGAUCGCACAACAGAGGGGUUGCAACAAGUGGCAGAGAACCCGGGAUACGAGCCCCACAAGAGCAACAUGAGGUAGGGCAGCGGAGACCGCAACAUUAACGACACACCAGUUUGGCACGGGGGGUCGCGCCCAGGCUAACAGAUUCCUGUGUGUCUGUGGUUACAAGGUGGCGAGCACGAUGACGUGCAUCCCUGUCAGAUUAACAGGCGGGCAGGACCUGGGGACGGGGCGAGGGUAAUCCAGGGCAGAUUACGGGAUCAGAAGUCUGGGUGCCCGGUGAGAGGGUGGCCGACAGGACGCGAACAACCCAGGGCGGGCGCGGGGCGCACGGUGCGAGAAGGAUGCUAGCUAGGCACGCGGAACAGGCAGGGCAGACCCCCGGGCCGCCUCCCAGCACCUACUCCGGCUGCCCUCGAGUAAGGCGGGACGAGACGCACACGCACAUGGCUGACCCGCCCGCGGGACCCGGGUAGGCGGACGCCAGAAUCGGGGAACGGGCCCCGGACGUAAGGGGGGCACUAGGUGGCGCAGGCGGGCCGAGUAAGGCUUGGCGGGAGACGGAUAGACGGAGUAGACGGAGUGCAGAGGAUUAACACUCGGCCAGGCAGGGGGCUAUCUACCCACGGCUCGUGUCACUGCGAUAGACAACCCACAAUCGGGCAGAUUGGUUCCUGGAUACCGAUCAACGCGGGCCCUGCCACGGGGGUCCGUGGGCCACCCGCGAGCCGGGGGAAACAUAUGAAGCCGGCAGGACAGGCGGCUCGCCUGGCGGAAGAGGCGGGCUGAGGCGGACUAGCCAACCGACAGCACCUUGAAGGGGCGGGCGGGCAAUGCCGGGCAAUGCCGAGCCAGAUCAGACAGGCAACACGCCAAUAAGUAACAGCUGCCAAGACACAUACACAUGGAGGAGGAGCCCAGUACAUACAGUCGACGCGGGAAGAGCGGCAGCGGCAGGAACAGAUUGAAGCCGAGUAAGAAGCGCCAGACCUGGGGGGGGGGGGCGCCGGAAUACCCUGGCAGAUAGUAGCGGUGGGGAAGGAGCGAGGGUAGAGGGGCAAGAAGCCACGCGAGGGGACCGUCGGUAAGAUAGUCCACCUGAGCGAUACGUGCCAGGGCAAGCAGAAGCACGGCACGCAGGUUGGGACGUCACCGGCAAUUGCGCAAAACCGGACACGCACGUGAGUGAGCUAUGCAGUCAGGGGCCAGCCGGAGAGAUGGAAGACACUAGCGGCCUAUAUAUAUCAUCAGCAAAGGGGGCGGGUUGCAGUUACCAAUAGUCAGUGCGCAUGUAUAGGAGCGAGGAGGAGAGCGGGGAUACACCAAAAACCGCGGCCAGUACACAAGCAUCAAGCAAGCAACGGGAACACACCGACGGGAACACACCAGCCGGACGCAGCUGGGGAGCGGCACAAGUUUAAAAGCAUAUGGCGGCCCAACCAAGUAGGACGCACGCAACCGCUGGCGGAGGAGCAAGGGUUGCGGUCACCAGCCCAAGCUAAGCCAAACCAAACCAAGCGGAUGGGGAAGAGCGAGGAGGAGAGCGGGGGCCGGGGGGUGGGUGCUGUAGCAACGGCCACCGGGGCACGCCGUGCUAAGAGGUGAGGCAGGCAGGCAGGCAGGCAGGCAGGCAGGCAGGCAGGCAGGCAGGCAGGCAGGCAGGCAGGCAGGCAGGCAGGCAGGCAGGCAGGCAGGCAGGCAGGCAGGCAGGCAGGCAGGCAGGCAGGCAGGCAGGCAGGCAGGCAGGCAGGCAGGCAGGCAGGCAGGCAGGCAGGCAGGCAGGCAGGCAGGCAGGCAGGCAGGCAGGCAGGCAGGCAGGCAGGCAGGCAGGCAGGCAGGCAGGCAGGCAGGCAGGCAGGCAGGCAGGCAGGCAGGCAGGCAGGCAGGCAGGCAGGCAGGCAGGCAGGCAGGCAGGCAGGCAAGCAGGCAGGCAGGCAGGCAGGCAGGCAGGCAGGCAGGCAGGCAGGCAGCCAGGCAGGCAGGCAGGCAGGCGGGCGCCUGGGAAAGCGGGGCUUGCCACACCCUAGGCAGCCCGCGGCCUGAACACUAGGACGCAUGCUGGGGCACACACCCACUACCCGCACUCAAUCGGACUCAAGCCCCCCCUGGCACAAGAGAAACCGUGCACUGCCGCCCGGGGACGGACCUGGUGCGGCCGGCGGCAUGCACCACGGCUGCCCGCGCACACCAGGAGGGGACACACGGCGGAUUGCACCAUGGCGAUACGCGGCAAUCUUUAACCAGUACUGAAAGUCCUCACCAUUGGCGGGACGGAAGACCGGAGCUCGCAAGCCCCAGCGAACAUACAAGCAGGGCCCACUGGGACUAUGGUUGGGACACCGCCGGUGGCCCGACAGGCCGACACCGCGCGGCAGGCGGCACGCAGGACAAACAGGGAAAGGGAGGCGACGAACCACAUGGGUAGGCGCGCUCAAACACUGCAGAGACCCAAGCAGCGGCUAGACAGGGGAUGCAGCAAGCGCUGGCCCCGGCCCCGCGCGGGCCAAAUUCGUGACCGUGGGGGCACGCGGAGCGCCGCCCAUGGUUGGGGUGAAGGCAGGGAGUAGAGUGGUACAGAAGAGAGACCCAGGCUGGGCACAACGUCCGAUGCAGACUGCGCAACCAAUAAGCUGCGUCAACACGCUGUACGUGCACACGCGCGCGGCAGCCCAAGAGGUGGGGGCAGGGAGGACCGCGGCAGCGCGAGGCGUCCUAUACGAGACAUUGCCCAAAUAGGUAGCCGUAGCGAAAGAGCGGUGAAGUGGCCGGAGGAAGGGAAGGCAAAAUCGUGUCGGCGCAGAUUUGGGAACGGGAAGGGAGUGGGGAGCGGGGCCCACUUGGGAGGGCUCAGUAUCGGGGACAGGCAGGGGAAUGGAGAUGGCAGGUGCGCCACGGGGCCUGGUAGCGGAGGAGUGUGCACACACCCAUGGAUGCGCAUCAGCAAACUUCCAGCCAGCCAGCAACUUUUCGGUACAGUAACUCCGGCGUUCGUCCAGCCGCGCACUCCUGCCCUGCCGUUGCAAAGUGUUUGCCAUCUUCUGGGGGCUGAGAGUUUGCUGCACCCUGCGGGACUUCACCAAUAACCUGCCUGGACACUGCCCCAUCGCACACCAACGGAUGCUGGGGCCAUACACGCGAGGGCGGGGGGAUGCGGGGACGCAGCCACGAAGGACACAGUAUUAGCGUCAGGAAUGCCGGGAGAUGAUGUGGGUAGAUAGGCCGCUGGUCGUCAGCGGUGUGGCCGGGCUGCAUCGGGACACACACACACCCCUGUCCCGGGACAGGCCGCCAUGGGGCGGUGUGGUCGGGCGCGUAAGCCUUGGAGGCAGCAAUAGAGAGCGCUAUGCCUUACAAGGUAGACGUAGCUACCGACCGCCCAAGUCAAGUUAACCCUUGUACGGAAGACACUCUUGGCACUUCACCAAUGAGACUUAUUGAAGUGCUCGCCUGCUCGGCCCCAUUCGCCCGGCCCCAUCGCAUCCGUACCACCCGCGACCCUCGCGGAAGUACGCGGAAUCCCUCCACACAGUUACCCUUCCACCCACACUGGGAGCAGUCUAUCAGACUGCGCGGAAAGGACGACUAGUUUCGCGACGAUCCCACCACACCCACCCGUCGCGAAGAGGAGAACCCGGAACACACAAUACACACAGCAGCACUAGGAACACAAGGCCCCAUCACACACCAACCCUAGCAACGAAACAGCAUACAUACGACCGCCAGCAACGGACUACUCAGCCUCAACUGCGGAGGGCUCCAGGUGGCGGUCGGGGUCCAGGUACCGCCGCAGCGUGCCCACGCUCCGCAUCUGAGCCAGCUGCAGCAGGGCGUCCAGGCCAGCGCCGGUGGCUCUGGCGUGCUGCAAGGAGCCGCGGCGGAAGCUGUGGCAGGUCUCGCCCUCCCCCAGACCCGCUUGCUCCAAAUGGCGGCGGAGGCGGUAAUUGAGGUCGGACGUGCUCAUAGCCCGUUCCUCAAAACCGCGCCGGUCAGCCCGCAGGGGCCGGAACAGCCAGUCACCCACCGCCCAGCCGCCCUCAGAGCACAGCUUCAAGUACACCGCCAGGCAGCGCACGAAACACUGGGAGGUGACGGGCGCGGGGGCCAGGUCGCGGGCGGGGGCGCGACGCCCCUGGUAGGUCUUGGUCCCGAGCUGGCUCACCACGAGGGUGGGGAAGGCGGUGAGGGGCGUCCCCAGAAGGGGGAGGGGAAGGGGAUACCUGGAGUAGGCGGAGGAGGAAUUGGCCGGGUCACGAAGAUCGCUCAGACGCAGCCGCCCGCAGUCGUGGCCGCGCGUGGUGGUGUGCCACAUGAACUGGUAGCACAGCAGGUCGCGGUACAGGCACGCCUCCUCGAUCCCGGCGGUGGAGGGGGCGGCGUUGAGCAGAUAGCGGCACAGCUGGGCGAACUUGUCAUACGACAGAGGCCGGGCGGAGCGCUCCUGGUACCCGCCGGCGCCGGCCUGACGCCCGUACCCACGACGGUACAGGCGGACAUCCGUAGACUCGCAAGGGUUGCCGCGAGGCGUAUCCUCGGUCCAGGGCCCCUUGCGACCGUACAGCUCGAAGCCACCGGAGAGCAGGGAAAGAUGGGUGAGCACCGAGCUGGGGCUGGGGCGCCCGCCAGCAGCGCGCCCACGAUGUGUAGAAACCCAGUGCCGCUCCAUGUAGAUCAGCACGUGCUCGGGGGUGCAGGAGUGGGCAGACACGCCGGAUGCGCGCCCCAGCAGCCAGCCCUCGAACUCAAGCAUGGCAGCCUCGCGUGCCCGGCGGGUAGACGGAGCAUGCGCGUGCGCCUGCACAGCGGCCACGGCGGGCAGGCUGCCCAGCAGGUAGGAGCUGGAAGCGGAGGCAUCCAGCACGAUGCGUGGAAUGGCGGGCAGAGGGGCGGUGGAGUAGCGGAACAGAGACAACCGCAACUGCGAGGGCGGAGACACAAGCACAAGGAUGUGUUAAGAAGGCUAUCAUAGGAGACGCGCCGAGCCAAGAAGAAGCCAAAGAACAGCGAUUCACGCACCGGAGGCGAAGCGGCGGGGAGCGGAUCCGGAAGCGCGGGGAGAGGCAGCCCCAAGAGACUUGAACCAGAAGAAGAAGCCGCCCCAAAGGCGCCCUGCGAGGGCGCGCAUAAGCGUUAUGGGCCAAACAACACAAGGACUGGCGGCGAGCCUCACCGCCGCGAACCCAGAGCCAGACCCAGGCGUGGACAAGACGUUGCUCAGGACAGGACGAGCAGUCGCCGAAGGCGGGUCACCGAACACGCCACGCCCGGGACCGGCCUGGAAAAACAGUGAACGAUUCCGGCCACCAAGCAGCACCAAAGGUCGUAACAAGAGCAGAUUAAUAUAGAGCGUAUCGGAAACCCAAUAGAAGGCCAAGAGAAAUUCCGUGCAUUGAGGUUCGUCACGGGGCGCGUAAGCCUUGGAGGCAGCAAUAGAGAGCGCUAUGCCUUACAAGGUAGACGUAGCUACCGACCGCCCAAGUCAAGUUAACCCUUGUACGGAAGACACUCUUGGCACUUCACCAAUGAGACUUAUUGAAGUGCUCGCCUGCUCGGCCCCAUUCGCCCGGCCCCAUCGCAUCCGUACCACCCGCGACCCUCGCGGAAGUACGCGGAAUCCCUCCACACAGUUACCCUUCCACCCACACUGGGAGCAGUCUAUCAGACUGCGCGGAAAGGACGACUAGUUUCGCGACUAGCUCCGCGGAAAGGACCACUAGUUUCGCGUUCCUGGAGUGUCCAGCUUAUGCGCAGGCGAGGACGUGGCUGCAGCAGCUGUGGGCCUGCGUUGCGCCCCAGGCAGCGGCGCCGCCAGUGACGGACGCGGGCUUCAUGCUGGGGGACCGCAUGGGUAUGUGGGCCUCAGGCCCGCGGGGGGCGGGCGCGCUGCUGUGGAGCACUUUGCGGGCCACCUUCUUGUACGCCGUCUGGUGUGCGUACUGGUCCCGCGAGCCUGCUAAGCAGACGUCGGAGCAUGUGGUUCGGGAGGUGGUCAGCGAGCUGCGCAGGGUGAUGCAGCUGCGUUUCACUGCCGCCACGCUAACCCCUGAAACCCUGUCGGCUCUGCCCACACAGCUUCUCACCGCGCAGCUCAAGGCGGCUAAGCUGGAGCACUUUGUUGCCAUCUGGACGGCGGGUGGCGCGCUUUGUGAAGUGGAGGAGGUUCAGGGUGGGUCACCGAAGUUGAACUUGCGGCUGACGCUUGCAUCACCUGUGCAGGCCCCCUAGGUUUCCUUUUGGGUGGCGUUUCUUUCCAAGCGCUGGCGUGGUGUACUAUCGUCAUCAGCUUAUCUGGCGCCCAUGUGUUUUAGCUCUGGCUGGCGUCGCAGCGCCUGGGCGGCUGUGGGACUUCCUGCACAGCGCGUCUUGCAGCGGGCUGGAGCCCACUUAGUCAGCGCCACAUCUGGCCCAUUUAGUCUUCUGCUUGUGUCUCCUCUGCCGGUUCUCCUGGGGUGUUGCUUAAGCAACCGACUUGUGGGGGUGGGGUGGGUUUGGGCGGGGCGAGUGCGUAGCGCUGGUGUUUCCUUUUCUGGCGCGCGGUGGUGGUGGUUCUUGCGGUUAGGCUGUGGUGUAGGUUGGUGCUUGGGUUAGGUCUGGCGGUGUUUUUGUGCAACCCCUCCCGGGGGGCGGGGGGGCCAGCCUCCUGCUCUGUCUGCCGGGUCGGGGUGGGGUGGGGUGCGGUGGGAUGGAUGGGGGUGGUUGGUGGCGGUUUUGAGGUGUUUGCUUUCUGUUUUCUUCUCUUUUCUUCUCUUCUUGCCCUGUCAGGGUUCUGGUCUCGGGGACCAGGCUGUUUUCAGGCAGCAGGGGGGCAGCGCGUCUGCCCCUGUUCAACCUUGUAAGGAUGAUCCCUCAAAAAAAUCCACCGCCGGGGGCAGCACGCCAGGCCCAGGCUCCAAGAGCCGCCCCGUGUAGUGGACGUAGGACACAGCCCCCGCAGCGUUAGCCACCCACAGCUGGUCCAGGCUAACCCGCCACUGUGGCGGCGCCGCUGGCGGCUGAGUGGCUGGCUGCGGCGGAUGCUGUUCCACACCCGCGCUCCGCACGUGGCCGACCGCGGCCGCCAGCCGGGCAGGCAGCCCCGCUGGCGCCGGCGCGUCGCUGUACACCCACGCCCACGUGGUGGCGGAGUCCGGGCGCACAUGGGUAAGCAGCGCCCGGGUGAGCAUCUUCCAGGGUUGCCGGCCUGGCUGGGCAAGGAGGGCGAAAGUCUUAGCUUGCAGGGCAGACAGGAACGCAGGCAGGUCGACGUGGUUGACACCCCCGUCCUUGUACGGCAGACAUGCCGUUUCCCGCUUUGGCAGCAGGAGCGGGUUCCCGUGCGACACCAGGCUGGCGUCCUCAGCGUGCAUGGAGCGCGCAGCAAAGUGGUCCACCAGGUCGGUGAGCUCCUUCAGCUGCGCAGGCGACGGGUUGAGGAAGCUGAAGUGGUAGGCCAGCUUCGCCGCCAGCACCUGCUUCGCAAUGUGCACACGGCCAACGAGAGUCAGAGACAGGGCAGCCCACAGACGCGCCACAAACGCCAUGCCGCGAGCCCGCCGGGUGUACAAGUCAGCUGCAGCCGCAUCAGAGUCCCACGACAGGGGCACACCCAGGUGCGUCACGGCGCCAGUGGUAAACGGCACCCCGGUGUGUGGGCAAGGGCCCGUCAGGUGCGCAAACCUGCCAAGGCCCAUGGCCUUGCUCUUGUCCGGAUGGACACGGGCGUUGGACGCGCGGCAGAACAGCUGUACUGCCGCCAUCAGGACCGGCCCGUCCACCGCCGGGUCGCGCGCCGUGAGGGUCGUGUCGUCAGCGUGGUGGGCAGCAGGCGGCGCCGGCUCGCCGCUGGGUAACAGGGGCGUGCGCAGUGCCCCUUGCUCCACCUGCCGCCGCAGAAAGGACGUCAGUGGCUGCAUCUGGAUGACCCACAGGGGUGGUGAGGCGGUGCUGCCCUGCGGCAAGCCGUUCAGCACUGGGAAGGCGUCAGAGAGCAUCCCGUUCACACACACGCGGGCAGAGCCGUUGGCAGUGAGCAGGCGGAUCCAGCGCAGCAUGCGCGGCCCAAACCCAAGUCCCUCCGCGGACGCAUACAGCCACUGCCGGUGCACCCGGUCAUACGCCUUUUCUAUGUCCAAGAAGUACAGCGCACCACCCUGCCGUGGCGUGCCGUCCGCGCCCACGUCCAGGCGCAUCCAUUCGAUCAGGCCUUGGAGGUUUUUUUUUUUGAGGAAUCAUCCUUACAAGGUUGAACAGGGGCAGACGCGCUGCCCCCCUGCUGCCUGAAAACAGCCUGGUCCCCGAGACCAGAACCCUGACAGGGCAAGAAGAGAAGAAAAGAGAAGAAGACAGAAAGCAAACACCUCGAAACCGCCACCAACCACCCCCAUCCAUCCCACCCCAACACCCACCCGCCCCAGCCACGGCGCCCACACGCCUGCACAACCUGCCUUGACGGUGCAAGCCCACGCAAUAGCCUCAGGACAAUCAUUGGAAUGCCUGGGUGCCUGUGGCGGCGUGCCCCAACUCGGGUGCACCCAGGUAGCAUCGCAGGUGGUGAUACGGUUCGUGCCGUCCGCCCCCAGCCCACACACUAUAAGGACGGGUUUGUGCGUUACACCUGCUUUUUGUGCAUAAAGCAUGCGUUGGGGGUGGGACGCAUGCGUCCACGGAACGCAAGAAUGCAUGAGGGCCGGGCAGACGCAUGCGCCCCACGAAUACGCAAGCCCCCGACGCAAGCCCCCGACGCAAGCCCCGUCAAAGCCUUCACCUCAAGUACUUGCUCAACUCACAGAGUGUAGACACAUAGCGAACGAUGACUUUGCCAAACCUCGCGAUCGCCCAACUGCACUACACCCCUACCCACCCCCCCAUACAUGUAGCCCCUGGGCCACGGGGAGCCCGUGCACCUGCGCCACCUGCCUUGACAGUGCAAGCCCACGCAGCAGCCUCAGGACAUCAAGGGGCAUGCCUGGGAGCCUGUGGCUGCGUGCCCCCACGCCCUCGUAGCAUCGCAGGUGGUGAUCAGUGCUCGUAUCUUCCUUCUUUUCGACAGCUGCUGCAUGGCGCUGGGCGGUGGGGCGUUUUGUGUGGAAGGCACGUGAGCAGCUGUGUUUGUGGCACCUUCACAGGCGGCGGGGGCGGCUUUGCUGCUCAUCGCUUGGUCCUGACACGAGGUGCUUGUUCAGCUACCUCACCCAGCACGCUGUAACAGGGGCACAUCCCGUGCGGCAGAAUAUUUUGCUGUGCCAGAGCCGAAACGUGGGCUGGAGGCAACAGCCACCUCACCCCGCACGCUGUAACAAGGGCACAUCUCGUGCGGCGGAAUGUUGUGCUGUGCUGGAGCCGGAAGGUGGGCUGGGGGCAACAGCAGCAACCUCAUCCCGCACGCUGUAACACGACAAGGUUGUUUGCACCAGAUUCCCAGUACUAGCCAUCUGUACCAAGCUGUGUGUUUGUGUGGAGUUUCUGUUUUGAGAUGGAUGCACGGCACGAAUGGGAGAUUGAGAGAUUGCUGACACGGCCUGCCACACCCCUGGCUUGACACGAACCGUGCAUAGGUCGGGGGUGGAGCCCCCAGAAAACUUUUGGGAUGAAAGUUGCGGCGGCAGCGUGUUUCUGAGAAUUAAAGGUGCUCUAUUUCGGAAAUCUGUCAGCACCUGCCUUCUUAAGAUACGAGCAGUGGCCCAACCACUGGUGAUAUGGUUAGUGCCGCCAGCUCCAGCCCCCAGCCCCCACCCCCACCCCCACCUGCCCCGCCAUAGCGCCAGCGUGCCUGCGCCACCUGCUUUGAGGUGAAACCCCUCGCAGCAGCCUCAGGACAUCUAGCGGCAGGCCUGGGUGCCUGUGGGGGUAUGCUUCGACACGGGUGCGCCCAGGUCGGGUGCGCCCAGGUCGCAUGGCAUGUGGUGAGACUGCUGUCAUGGCGUUGGCCCCCAGCCCCCGGCCCCACUCCCACCGCCACGGUGCCAGGGUGCCUGCACAACCUGCCUUGAGGGUGCAAGCCCAGGCAGCAGUCUCAGGACGCUCAGUGGCAUGCCUGGGUGCCCAUUGUGGCGUGCCCUGACAUGGGUAGCAUUGCAGGUGGUGAUACGGUCAGUGCCGCCCGCCUCCAGCCCCCAGCCCCCACUCCCACCUGGCCGCCACGGCGCCCACGCUCCUGUGCCGCCUGCCUUACAGUGUAAGCCUGCCCAGCAGCCUGAGGACACAACAACAUAGGGUCAUUCCUGGUCAUAGCGCAGCAGAGCCCAGGGCCCAGCGGGUACACCACCUCACACGAAGGCCAGGGAGCAAUCCAACACCAAACCAAAAUCAUGCACACUCGCAAAACAAAAGCGCACACACACUGACAAGACACCUGAAGGCUGCGAGGCUUGGUCCAGGGACCCUCGCAGCCUCACUCCAUCCAGACCUCAGCUGAACCAGGGCAAGACGCCAGGGCAGACUAAGCCUACUAACUGAACAGGGUGGAAGCGCUGUAGGCUUAUCUUGACAUAAAAAAGUAGGGUCUAAACGGGAACCAAUCCCGUCUAAAUACGAGUGUUGUGGAAACGAAUGCGUACGUAGACCAGAGCGGAUGGCGGAGUGGGCUAGACGGGAUGGAAUCCCGCCCCCAGCCCACACACACCCACCGGCCCCGCCACGGCGCCCGUGCACCUGCGCCACCUGCCUUGACGGUGCAAGCCCACGCAGCAGCCUCAGGACAUCAAGGGGCAUGCCAAGGAGCCUGUGGCGGCUUGCCCCGACGCGGGCGCGCCCAGGCAGGAUCGCAGGUGGUGAUACGGUUUGGGUUGUCCGCCCUGCCUAUCUACGAUUUAGCGACCGCUAAUGAGCCGUCGUCUAUGAUAAACAUCAGAAGACAAGCAACAUUCUCCAAAGCUGCAAGAUGCCUUCAGCGAAAGCCAUGCACAAAAUGUUGCCAGCGACGCUCGUAUAAUGCAGCAGGAGCCCACACAGACUAGUCAUUGUUCUAUGCUCCAUAAGCUAUUGCCUGAACAGGGGAGGGUAACUCUGCGCAUGUGCUGUGAAACUUUCUUCAAUUGCGUUUGGACGGGAAGCUUUCCCGUCUGGACGGGAAGCCUUCCCGUCUAGACGGGAUGGGUUCCCGUCUAGACGGGAUGGGUUCCCGUCUAGACGGGAUGGCUUCCCGUCUAGACGGGAUGGGUUCCCGUCUAGACGGGAAGCCUUCCCGUCUGGACGGGUUGGAGUCCCGUCCAGACGAUACGCACAGGAACAUUUAUAUGUUUGCAGGGAUACUUAGUCCUCUGCAGACCAUUUCAGCCCUGUCAGGGAAUUGCAGACGCGACCCUGACAGGAUACCGCAGUUACCUGCAUGACAUUUGUACCCUGCAGAAUACAUAAAUUAUCUUGCAGAAGAAAAAACAUUCCUGGGAUCCCGUUUAGACGGGACUCCAACCCGUCCAGACGGGAAAGCUUCCCGUCCAAACGCAAUUGAAGAACGUUUCACAGCACAUGCGCAGAGUUACCCUCCCCUGUUCAGGCAAUAGCUUAUGGAGCAUAGAACAGGACAAUGACUAGUGUGGGCUCCUGCUGCAUUAUAUGAGCGUCGCUGGCAACAUUUUGUGCAUGGCUUUUGCUGAAGACAUCUUGCAGCUUUGGAGAAUGUUGCUUGUCUUCUGAUGUUUAUCAUAGAUGACGGCUCAUUAGCGGUUGCUAAAUCGUAGAUAGGCAGGGCGGACGACCCGAAUUGUAUCACCACCUGCGAUCCUACCUGGGUGCGCCCACGUCGCCACAAGCACCCAGUCAUGCACCUCGAUGUAAUGAUGCUGCUGGGCGGGCUUGCACCGUCAAGGCAGGUUGCGCAGGCUAACGGGCGCGGUGGCGGGUCCAGUGGGUGUGGGCGGGUGUUGGCUGGAAGCGCAGGCAUGUGGGCGCAGUGGCUGGGGCUGUGGGCAGGGGUACGGGCUGAGGGCGGACAGCACGAACCGUAUCGCCACCUGCGAUGCUACCUGGGCGCACCCGUGUCAGCGCACACCACCGUAGGCACCCCAGCAUGCCGCUUGAUGUAUUGAGGCUGCUGCGUGGGCUUGCACCGUCAAGGCUGGUCGUGCAGGCGUGCUGGCGCCGUGGGUGGGGCUGGGGGAUGGGGGCGAACAUCUUGAACCGGUGUCACCACAUGCGAUGCUACCUAGGCGCACCCGUGUCGGGACACGCCGUCAUAGGCAUUCAGACAUACACCUCGACGUCCUGAUGCUGCUUGGUGGGCUUGCACCGUCAAGGCAGGUGGCGCAGGCGCAUGGGCCCCCCGUGGCGGGGCGGGUGGGGGUAGGGGCUGGGGGCCGACAGCACGAACCGGUGUCACCACCUGCGAUACUACCUUGGCGCACCCGCGUCAGGGCACACCACCGUAGGCACCCCGGCAUGCCGCAUAAUGUCUUGAGGCUGCUGAGUGGACUUGCACCGUCAAGGCAGGUUGUGCAGGCGUGUGGGCGCCGUGGUUGGGGCGGGUGGGUGUUGGGGUGGGGGUGGGAGUGGGGGCUGGGGGUGGGGGGGCUGGGGGCCAACGGCACGAACCGGUGUCACCACCUGCGAUGCUGCCUGGGCGUGUUCGCGUCGGGGUACGCCGCCACAAGCACCCCGGCAUGCCGCUUGAUGUCUUGAGGCUGCUGCGUGGGCUUGCACAGUCAAGGCAGGUGGCGCAGGCGCAUGGGCCCCCCGUGGCCCAGGGGCUCCAUGGUUGGGCGGGUGGGGGUGUGGGCUGGGGGCGGACGGCACGAACCGUAUCACCACCUGCGAUGCUACCUGAAUGCCACCGUGUCGGGGCACACCACCACAUGCACCCAGGCAUGCCCCUGAAUGUCCUGAGGCUGCGACCCGGGCUUGCACCGUCAAGGCAGGUGGCGGGCGGCGGGGCCGGGUGGGGGUAGGGGCUGGGGGCGGACAGCACGAACCGUAUCGCCACCUGUGAUACUACCUUGGCGCACCCGCUCAGGGCACACCACCGUAGGCACUCCGGCAUGCCGCAUAAUGUCUUGAGGCUGCUGCGUGGGCUUGCACCGUCAAGGCAGGUUGUGCAGGCGUGUGGGCGCCGUGGCUGGGGCGGCGGGCAGGAUUAGGGGCUGGAGGCGGACAGCACGAACUAACCGUAUCGCCACCUGUGAUGCUACCUGGGCGUGUUCGCGUCGGGGCACGCCGCCACAGGCACCCAGACAUGGUACUGGAUGUCUUGAGGCUGCUGCGUGGACUUGCACAGUCAAGGCAGGUGGCGCAGGCGCAUUGGCCCCCCGUGGCCCAGGGGCUCCAUGGCGGGGCGGGUGGGGGUGUGGGCUGGGGGCGGACGGCACGAACCGUAUCACCACCUGCAAUGCUACCUGAAUGCCACCGUGUCGGGGCACACCACCACAUGCACCCAGGCAUGCCCCUGAAUGUCCUGAGGCUGCGACCCGGGCUUGCACCGUCAAGGCAGGUGGCGGGCGGCGGGGCCGGGUGGGGGUAGGGGCUGGGGGCGGACAGCACGAACUACACGAACCGUAUCGCCACCUGUGAUACUACCUUGGCGCACCCGCGUCAGGGCACACCACCGUAGGCACCCCGGAAUGCCGCAUAAUGUCUUGAGGCUGCUGCGUGGGCUUGCACCGUCAAGACAGGUUGUGCAGGCGUGUGGGCGCCGUGGCUGGGGCGGCGGGCAGGAUUAGGGGCUGGGGGCGGACAGCACGAACUAACCGUAUCGCCACCUGUGAUGCUACCUGGGCGUGUUUGCGUCGGGGCACGCCGCCACAUGCACCCAGACAUGGUACUGGAUGUCUUGAGGCUGCUGCGUGGACUUGCACAGUCAAGGCAGGUGGCGCAGGCGCAUUGGCCCCCCGUGGCCCAGGGGCUCCAUGGCGGGGCGGGUGGGGGUGUGGGCUGGGGGCGGACGGCACGAACCGUAUCACCACCUGCAAUGCUACCUGAAUGCCACCGUGUCGGGGCACACCACCACAUGCACCCAGGCAUGCCCCUGAAUGUCCUGAGGCUGCGACCCGGGCUUGCACCGUCAAGGCAGGUGGCGGGCGGCGGGGCCGGGUGGGGGUAGGGGCUGGGGGCGGACAGCACGAACCGUAUCGCCACCUGUGAUACUACCUUGGCGCACCCGCGUCAGGGCACACCACCGUAGGCACCCCGGCAUGCCGCAUAAUGUCUUGAGGCUGCUGCGUGGGCUUGCACCAUCAAGGCAGGUUGUGCAGGCGCGUGGGCGCCGUGGGUGGUGCGGUGGGUGGGAGUAGGGGGGGGCGGACAGCACGAACUAACCGUAUCGCCACCUGCGAUACUAACUGGGCGUGUUUGCGUCGGGGCACACCGCCACAGGCACCUCGGCAUGCCGCAUAAUGGCUUGAGGCUGCUGCGUGGGCUUGCACCGUCAAGGCAGGUUGUGCAGGCGUGUGGGCGCCGUGGCUGGGGCGGUGGGCGGGAGUAGGGGCUGGGGGCGGACAGCACGAACCGUAUCGCCUACCUGUGAUGCUACCUGGGCGUGUUCGCGUCGGGGCACGCCGCCACAGGCACCCAGACAUGGUACUAGAUGUCUUGAGGCUGCUGCGUGGACUUGCACAGUCAAGGCAGGUGGCGCAGGCGCAUGGGCCCCCCGUGGUCCAGGGGCUCCAUGGCGGGGCGGGUGGGGGUGUGGGCUGGGGGCGGACGGCACGAACCGUAUCACCACCUGCGAUGCUACCUGAAUGCCACCGUGUCGGGGCACACCACCACAUGCACCCAGGCAUGCCCCUGAAUGUCCUGAGGCUGCGACCCGGGCUUGCACCGUCAAGGCAGGUGGCGGGCGGCGGGGCCGGGUGGGGGUAGGGGCUGGGGGCGGACAGCACGAACCGUAUCGCCACCUGUGAUACUACCUUGGCGCACCCGCGUCAGGGCACACCACCGUAGGCACCCCGGCAUGCCGCAUAAUGUCUUGAGGCUGCUGCGUGGGCUUGCACCGUCAAGGCAGGUUGUGCAGGCGUGUGGGCGCCGUGGCUGGGGCGGCGGGCAGGAUUAGGGGCUGGGGGCGGACAGCACGAACUAACCGUAUCGCCACCUGUGAUGCUACCUGGGCGUGUUCGCGUCGGGGAACGCCGCCACAUGCACCCAGACAUGGUACUGGAUGUCUUGAGGCUGCUGCGUGGACUUGCACAGUCAAGGCAGGUGGCGCAGGCGCAUUGGCCCCCCGUGGCCCAGGGGCUCCAUGGCGGGGCGGGUGGGGGUGUGGGCUGGGGGCGGACGGCACGAACCGUAUCACCACCUGCAAUGCUACCUGAAUGCCACCGUGUCGGGGCACACCACCACAUGCACCCAGGCAUGCCCCUGAAUGUCCUGAGGCUGCGACCCGGGCUUGCACCGUCAAGGCAGGUGGCGGGCGGCGGGGCCGGGUGGGGGUAGGGGCUGGGGGCGGACAGCACGAACCGUAUCGCCACCUGUGAUACUACCUUGGCGCACCCGCGUCGGGGCACACCACCGUAGGCACCCCGGCAUGCCGCAUAAUGUCUUGAGGCUGCUGCGUGGGCUUGCACCAUCAAGGCAGGUUGUGCAGGCGCGUGGGCGCCGUGGGUGGUGCGGUGGGUGGGAGUAGGGGGGGGCGGACAGCACGAACUAACCGUAUCGCCACCUGCGAUACCAACUGGGCGUGUUUGCGUCGGGGCACACCGCCACAGGCACCUCGGCAUGCCGCAUAAUGUCUUGAGGCUGCUGCGUGGGCUUGCACCGUCAAGGCAGGUUGUGCAGGCGUGUGGGCGCCGUGGAUGGGGCGGUGGGCGGGAGUAGGGGCUGGGGGCGGACAGCACGAACUAACCGUAUCGCCUACCUGUGAUGCUACCUGGGCGUGUUCGCGUCGGGGCACGCCGCCACAGGCACCCAGACAUGGUACUAGAUGUCUUGAGGCUGCUGCGUGGACUUGCACAGUCAAGGCAGGUGGCGCAGGCGCAUGGGCCCCCCGUGGUCCAGGGGCUCCAUGGCGGGGCGGGUGGGGGUGUGGGCUGGGGGCGGACGGCACGAACCGUAUCACCACCUGCGAUGCUACCUGAAUGCCGCCGUGUCGGGGCACACCACCAGAUGCACCCAGGCAUGCCCCUGAAUGUCCUGAGGCUGCGACCCGGGCUUGCACCGUCAAGGCAGGUGGCGGGCGGCGGGGCCGGGUGGGGGUAGGGGCUGGGGGCGGACAGCACGAACUACACGAACCGUAUCGCCACCUGUGAUACUACCUUGGCGCACCCGCGUCAGGGCACACCACCGUAGGCACCCCGGAAUGCCGCAUAAUGUCUUGAGGCUGCUGCGUGGGGGCCGGGCGGCGGGGCUGGGUGGGCAUCAAUGGCUUGGUUCUGUGCUGUGUGCAUGCAAUAACUGCUGUAUGUGGCUGCAGGACCUACCGCGGCUCGUUAGGUGGAUUACCCAGGAGGCGUGGUGUUGGUGGGGAAUAAGUAGAAUAAGUUUGGGAUCAGUGGGCUUGACACCAGGCUCGAUGUCAAGGUAGUCAAGGCAGGUGUAAAUUGGUUGGUGUAAGAGGCCUGCUUGCAGUGUAGGGGAGGACAUCAAGUCGAUCACUGGACAUGUGAGGGGACAUGUGAGGGGACAUGUAUGUGAGGGGGCGGGUGAGGGGAUUUGGGCAUAACUAGAGUAACAGGGCAGGGGUACCAGGGGGCAACAAGGGAUACAAGUGGGAGAGUAGUUGAAGGGGGCCCAAACACCCUCAUGCGCUAACGCAGCCCUGAGCAUAAGAACUGUGAGAGACAAAUGUCUUGUAUCAAAAGAGCUGUCAUAUUGCUGUUGUGGAAAGUGUAUUGCUGUUGUCGAAAGUGUCAGGUUAGCCAGAUGCCUGGUGAAUUACUGUGUCAGGGGCCAUACAUGGUACUCAAGCAAAAUGUUCUCCCAUGCAUAAAGCAUAUAAAAGCUUUUGAAGUAGAGCUAGUAGAGCAGGACUUGUGGAGCCCAUGUUUGAUAGGGGUUGACGUGCUAAAUGGUGUCUGGGCAACUGCUUGUUGAUAGUGUUGGCUGGUAAUAGUUGUAGUAGUCUGUAGGAGCUGGGGCCCAAGGCUGUGAAACCCUGUUACAUCACACGUUACAAAGGUCUUGGGAUUCAUCUACACACUCCCCUGUGUGUGGCCCAAGUAGAUCUGCAGGGAAGUAUGGUAUGUUCCUGUGGCAGGAAAGUUCACACCGCUGUUCACAGCUACUCGGGCAUUUUAGUCCUGAGAGGGGCAGGAGCCAUCCCUCUAGGGCACCCACAGGUGGGCCAUGCAUUGCCACCUGCCAUACCUGCAUCAGCACCCCAACUCCUAGUCCCAGCCUGAUUAUACAAUGCACCAUGUGCCAACACUCCAUACAAAUGCUGGAAACACAAACAGCCAACUGCCCCACAGCCACCUGGACCCACAUAUCCCUCCCCCCCCCCCCGCCUCCUUAGGGGCACCCACAGGUGGGCCAUGCAUUGCCACCUGCCAUACCUGCAUCGGCACCCCAACUCCUAGUCCCAGCCUGAUUAUACAAUGCACCAUGUGCCAACACUCCAUACAAAUGCUGGAAACACAAACAGCCAACUGCCCCACAGCCACGUGGACCCACAUAUCCCUCCCCCCCCCGCCCGCCUCCUUAGGGGCACCAUCAGAUGGGCCAUGCAUUGCCACCUGCCAUACCUGCAUUGGCACCCCAACUCCUAGUCCCAGCCUGAUUAUUCAAUGCACCAUGUGCCAACACUCCAUACAAAUGCUGGAAACACAAACAGCCAACUGCCCCACAGCCACCUGGACCCACAUAUCCCUCCCCCCCCCGCCUCCUUAGGGGCACCCACAGGUGGGCCAUGCAUUGCCACCUGCCAUACCUGCAUCAGCACCCCAACUCCUAGUCCCAGCCUGAUUAUACAAUGCACCAUGUGCCAACACUCCAUACAAAUGCUGGAAACACAAACAGCCUACUGCCCCACAGCCACCUGGACCCACAUAUCCCUCCCCCCCCGCCUCCUUAGGGGCACCCACAGGUGGGCCAUGCAUUGCCACCUGCCAUACCUGCAUCGGCACCCCAACUCCUAGUCCCAGCCUGAUUAUUCAAUGCACCAUGUGCCAACACUCCAUACACAUGCUGGAAACACAAACAGCCAACUGCCCCACAGCCACCUGGACCCACAUAUCGCUCCUGCAUCCUUAUAAUGGGGCGGCUUGGUUUCUCAGGCAUUCUCUAAUGGUGGAGCGCCUAUCUUCAGCUCAGUUUCUGGGUCUCUCUCGUGGGGCGGCUUUGUGCUCAGGCGUUCUCUAAUGGUGGAGCGCCUCUCUUCAGCUCAAGUACUUGGCGUCUGCUUUAUCUGGCAGCCAGCCCCUUUCUUUGACAUGGGACGUUACAGGCAGGGGACCAGGCAACGACAAGGCGGGCAGCAAGCAACAGGCAGCAAGCAAAACCGCGCCCCUUAGACCACAGGAGGAGAAAGGACCCGCAAUGCAACCACACCAAACGGGAAGGGGAGCCAGGCACCUGCUNNNNNNNNNNNNNNNNNNNNNNNNNNNNNNNNNNNNNNNNNNNNNNNNNNNNNNNNNNNNNNNNNNNNNNNNNNNNNNNNNNNNNNNNNNNNNNNNNNNNGGCAGCGGCAAUGGACCAGGUAGGCGCAGUAAAGGCAGACCCAUUUUGGUACAGUGUGACACCGUACUCUUUUGCCAGGGUCAUCUGUUUCAGCGUCGUCAGGUGGUGUGACCUAUGGGCUGGGAGAAGGUGGGCCUGUGUGGAGCCAGCUAUGCUUGCCUGGCGCGGCAGAAGGGCUCGGGUUACUAUCCCAAGACGGCCCGAGUCAUUUAGGGCAAGGACCAGGGCCCGCUGGGCCACGCGCGCGUAUUGCGGCAGGAGGGAGCCCAGGCCCAAGCCGUAUUCGUCGGCGGGCAGGAGGGAGGUCCGGGUGGGGAAGCUGCGGGGGAGUCCGUAGCAGCGCUUUGCAUAACCAGCCAGGGUAGUGUCGAGCGUUGUUAUGUCCUGUUUUGUGAAGGGCAUUGCUGCGAAUCCAUAUGCAACUGUGGUGUGCACGCACUGUUGUAUCAUGCGCAGGCGUUGUGCCGGUGUCGCCAGGGAUGUGGCAAUGGCUGUGCCCUUGUCCUUAACAAUCUCGGUGACUCUUGCGACAUGUGCCGACCAGUCCAGCGAGAACGUGAGCUGCACUCCCAGGUACUUGUACGGCUGGGUCGGGGGGAAGUACGGGACAGGGGUCGUGCCAAUCUUAAUUGUGUUGGUCAUGUUGCGGCGCAUGGCGGCAAGGGUAGCUUUUCCUGUGGGCCCGUCAAGGUUGGGGUCCGAGCGAGAUUUGUCGUGCCAGAUGGCGGUGGUGGCACACUUGGUGUGAUUGACACGCAGGCUCGCCCACUCGGCGUAAGAUGCGAUUUUGUCACAUUGAACCUGCAGGUCGUCGAGCGAGUUGGUGAGCGCCGCCAGGUCGUCUGCGUACGCGGCGGCACUGCAAUGGUAUUGCAGGUUUUCGCUGGGGGUCAGGCAGCCGUAGUGGUAGCCCCGUCCACCCGCAUGGAGCCAGCGGACAAGAGGUUCCAUGAACAGAAUAAAGAGCACAGGUGAGAGUGUAUCACCUUGCACGGUGCCUCGCUCUAUAGGAAUGGCGGAUGUGCUUCCGUGUUCGGUGCGGAUGCGGGUGGUCGCAUGUGCAUACAGGUUGCGGACUGCGCGGAUCAGGUCCGUUGGCAGCCCAAGGUCAAACAUUAUUUGUAGUAAUCGGUCCUGGUCGAUUGUGUUAAACGCGGAGCUAUAGUCCACGUAUACCGCAUAGACAUCUUUUCCAAACAGUGCGGCAUCCUCAAGGGCAUGUACCAAAUUUAGGACCUGCCUUUCGGUGUUGCAGUAGGCACGGAAGCCUUCCUGCGCUUCACUGAAUAGCUGGAGGGGGCCAGCCAGUUCGCCAAUGCCCAAGGUAAGCAUGGACGUGUACAGCUUGUAGCAGGUAUUUGCGAGCGCAAUGGGCCGUUUGUUUUUUAUGUCCAGGGCGUCUCCAGGUUUGGGGAGUAGCACGGUCUCCGAUGCGGCCCAGGUUUCAGGUAUUUGUGACUUGACGUACAUGAUUUGCAGGAUACAGUGGAGGUUGCGCUUCAUGCCUGAUGGCAGGAUACGGAGCAGUUCGUUUGGUAUGCCGUCAGGGCCUGUCGCCUUGUUUCUGGAGAGGUGAGAAAUGCACUGCUCAAAAUUUGCCGUGUCUGCCAUGCUGGGGAGCAUGGAGUGUGUGUCAGGGUGCCGGUUGCGGUCCAGUGUGAAUUGAUCUGUUGCGUCGGCUUUCUCAAAUGGGUAGCCGCGUGUGGCGUUGCUGGGUAGUCGGAAGUCCCCAGUGCGGGUGCCGCGUGGUGGGGCGGACAGCUUUCGGAAGUGGGUUUCGAGUAUGGCGAGGAUGCUGGUGGAGUCAGUCGUCACCUCCCCAGUUUCUGGGUUCCGGACCGCUGGGAGACCCCGUUCCAUGUCUUCCUUCUGAAAGAUUCUCUUGUGCCCCUGUGCAGGGCGCGUGGCCAGGGUAUGUUGCAGCGCUGUGGCAGCGGCCUCUCGCUGGGCUUUGGCGCGGUCCGCCACUAGCUGGCGGUGCUCGGCCUGGCAGGCCUUUAUUUCGUUCCGCAGCUUUGCUGCCGCAUUGGCGGCGUCAACCUCAGGUAGGGCCUGGGGCCCUUGCGUGAGGUUUGUCAGUUGUGUCUUCAGGGCCACUUCCUUGUCCCAUAGGGGCUUUAGCACCCGUGCGGUGGAGCGUGAUGCGUGGUGUUUGCCAGUGAAGGGGGCUUUCCGGGUGCACUCUUCAAGGAGGCAUGUUAGCCCGGUGUCCAGUGCGGAGGCAAGUUGUUCUGCAAGUUGGUUGAUAUCGGCCUUCUGGAUGCUCGUGUCCUGCGCCAGGUCUCGGUGCAUGACGCUGGCGGGGUAGCCUGUGGGGUCCGUGCUGUGCCUUGUGAGUGCAUGUUCAAUUGAUUGCGUUGCCUGCCUUGUUGCGGAAUGCAGGUCGGCUGUUGCUUCCACCAAGGCUUCCUCCACUCGGGGAAAGCCGCUCAUCCGAAUCUGGUCCGAAGUUGGUCCGAAGAUCUGUCCGAAACCUGAUCCGAAGCCUGGUCCGAAAGACCAUCCGAAGCUGGUCCGAGUUCCUGUCCGAAAGACCCCACCCCUGUCCGAAGUUUUUGUCUCCGAAGCUGGUCCGAAGUCGGUCCGAAUCUGGUCCGAAUAGCAUCCGAAUUACAAGUAUUUCGGACACUUUUGUCGGAUGCCAAGAUUCGGACGCAAUGUUCGGACCAGACCGGCCAUCCGAAUGGCAAUUCGGACGCGCCCAGCCCCAUUUCGGACACGCCCAGCUGUUGAUUCGGACGCACCCAGCCCCAUUUCGGACAUGCCCAGGCGUCAAUUUGGACACGCCCAACACCAUUUCGGACGCCGCCACCACCCGCUGCUGCCCAGUGCCCCGCCUGCUGCGCUUUUGUGGUGUCUACAGACACCGUUGCAUGUCCUGUCAUGCCCUUGUCAUGUAGCAGCGGCUCCCCUGCCCUUGUUCAACCCUGUACACAUACCCUUUUUGCUUGCUCCUGGGUCCCUUUGGCUACCUCGUCGCGCUCCUCGGCCCUACACAUGCGCCUCCAUGUUUGCGCACAUAUCACCUGCAUACACAGCACCACCGGCGUUGCAAGAGGCAUGGUGACAAGCCUUUCCCCGAGAUACAUGCUGUAUCUCACAUGCUGUAUACAUGCCCUGUCCGUUGAGCUGCCCACUGCACACAUGUCUUGGUGCUCCUUUUCAUGUGGAUUGCAUCACGAAAUCUGACUUACCACCAAAACGCAAAAGCGCCAUUGCCAGCAGCACAUGCACCGAUGCCGAGACGAAGGUUGACAUGAGAAUAGGGCGGCCGGGGAAUUGCAAGCAGAUAUUUGCAUGCAUAAGCAAUUGCAAACUAUUAGGACCCCGUGCGAAAGCGCAGGCAGGGCAGACGAAUGGUUGUUGACCGCGACAGGAAAACACUGCUGUAGACGUUUUGAGCUGAUACAAUGCGAGUUCUCAGUCAAAAACUUACAUUCUUGGGCCGUGAGCCUGUUUGGCCUUGAAUUUCGUGCAGGUCGGCGAAGGUCAGCGACAAAUCCUCCACUUUGACCAAGUUUGUAGCACCUCCGCCAACCCCUCAGGCAUGCUCGCAAGCUUGUGUCUAACAUAGUUGCUAUGAAUAGCAUCGUGCAGUAUCAUAGAGGGUUUGAGAACGUGGAACACUGCAUGCCGAUAUCGCUUGCAACAGAGAUAGGCUGUAACAGGCUAGCGAUACAUUUAACAACUUGUUAGUAUUAAAUCUGUAGUGUAUAGUAUGAGUCUUAUAAGAGAGUCAUACUAUUAAGUUGAGAAGCUGAAUGUCGGGUCUCCCCAUGCAGCAGCGCUGCCCCAUUGCGCAUGCCAGCUCGCCUCCCUUCUGGUAAUGCCAUUGCUAGGACGCUUAAUCCAAUGUAUGCGGCUGCGUCGGAUGCGGGCAUGGGAUGCAUGUGCCUGCCGCGCAGAUGGGGCCACACAAGCAGGCCACGCCCAGAAACACACUUCCCCACAGCAUACGCACACAGGACACGCCCCGCUGGGCUGCCAGCUUGAAGACACGCACAGUUGGCCAUCGUGCUGUGUUAGGCCAAGCGAUGGGCGUUGGUUGCGUCGGAUGCGGGCAUGGAUGGGAUGCAUGUGCCUGCCGCUCAGGUGGGGCCACACAAGCAGGCCACGCCCGGAAACACAGUUUCCCACAGCGCACACACACAGAACACGCCCCGCUGGGCUGCCAGCUUGAAGACACGCACAGUUGGCCAUUGCGCUGUGUUGAGUCAAGCAUUGGGCGCUGGUUAUGUCCGAUGCGGGCAUGGGAUGCAUGUGCCUGCCGCGCAGAUGGGGCCACACAAGCAGGCCACGCCCAGAAACACACUUCCCCACAGCAUACGCACACAGGACACGCCCCGCUGGGCUGCCAGCUUGAAGACACGCACAGUUGGCCAUCGUGCUGUGUUAGGCCAAGCGAUGGGCGCUGGUUGCGUCGGAUGCGGGCAUGGAUGGGAUGCAUGUGCCUGCCGCUCAGGUGGGGCCACACAAGCAGGCCACGCCCAGAAACACUCUUCCCCACAGCAUACGCACACAGAACACACCCCGUUGGGCUGCCCGCGUGGAGACACACGCAGUUGGGCAUUGUGCUGUGUUGGGCCAAGUGACAAACAACAAGCACCCCGCCCACGCCCACAGCAUUGCCCUUGCUCACACCCUUGCACUUGCCCCUGCCCCUGUACACGCAAACGCGCACGCAUGCACGCAAGCACGCACGCACACACGCACACAGGUGCACACCCACGCGCACGCACACGCACACACGCCCGCACAAGCGUGCACACACACCCACAAAUGCACAAGCUCAUGCUCAUGUACGCACAUACGCGUGCGCGUCAAUACACACGCACCUCGUGUACACACGAGCACACGCAUACACAAGCCCACAUAUGCACACACACACACAUACUGUCCUACGCGUAAUGUUUUCCUUGUGCUCUUUAACACACACACACACACACAUGCGCACACACACACACACACACACACACACACACACACACACACACACACACACACACACACACACACGCCUUUGGCAGAAGGUACGCUGGGAAUGGUGACACUUUGAGACGCUGUGGCGGUUGGCCAUUGACGCAGUGCCGCUGCCGGGAAACUCGCAUACGCCGUUGGCUCGCCGUGAGCCAUGCGGCUGUGGGCAGCACGGCCAUGGGGGCGCCGCGGCGGAGGCACACGCCGCCGCCGCGCCCACGCCACGGCAGCACCACUUCUGGGAUUGCGCGGUGGCGAAGGCCGUUGUGGCGCAGAUUAACGCACACAACCCCGGUCCGGCUCCCAUCAGCCAAGCCCAGCUGUGGCUGGUCCAGGCGCCGCCGGGUUUUCAGCAGUGUGUUUGGGACAUGGUGGUGAUGGACACGCCUGCGAGUGGAUUGCCUCUUUAAUGUCUACUAUCAAUAGCUACUCGGCAUUAGGUGAGGUGUGAGCAUCAGGGGAUAAAGAAUUCGAGGUGUACGCGACGAACGGAAAACCCACCGGGGUCGAUGGGUUUUUUUCGUUUCGCACACAAGCCGUAUUCCUCAAUUCUUAUUGUCUGUACCACUUUAUAGAGCCAAACUGUAUUCGUUUGUCAUCAACAAUGCAUCCAACACCAGCCGCAGACUGUGCGAGGAGGGAUUGAUUUCGAACUUAGCUGGCAGACCUCACUAGAAUGACUGUCUUCUCCCGGUUCGGUUGCCUUGGGAACCCCACUCAAAUGCUACAUGAGCUUGGUCGGGCAGUGGAGCGUGCGCGGCAUUGGAAGUCCACUUUCAAGCGGCAAUUCUUCCUCGCGGCAGUUUCGCUGGGGAAGUGUGAGCCCGGCAGCCAGCUGGUGGUCUACAAGGAUGGCGUGGAGUACACCACACUCGGGGAAAGCCGCUCAUCCGAAUCUGGUCCGAAGUUGGUCCGAAGAUCUGUCCAAAACCUGAUCCGAAGCCUGGUCCGAAAGACCAUCCGAAGCUGGUCCGAGUUCCUGUCCGAAAGACCCCACCCCUGUCCGAAGUUUUUGUCUCCGAAGCUGGUCCGAAGUCGGUCCGAAUCUGGUCCGAAUAGCAUCCGAAUUACAAGUAUUUCGGACACUUUUGUCGGAUGCCAAGAUUCGGACGCAAUGUUCGGACCAGACCGGCCAUCCGAAUGGCAAUUCGGACGCGCCCAGCCCCAUUUCGGACACGCCCAGCUGUUGAUUCAGACGCGCCCAGCCCCAUUUUGGACACGCCCAGCUGUUGAUUCGGACGCACCCAGCCCCAUUUCGGACAUGCCCAAGCGUCAAUUUGGACACGCCCAACACCAUUUUGGACGCCACCACCACCCGCUGCUGCCCAGUGCCCCGCCUGCUGCGCUUUUGUGGUGUCUACAGACACCGUUGCAUGUCCUGUCAUGCCCUUGUCAUGUAGCAGCGGCUCCCCUGCCCUUGUUCAACCCUGUACACAUACCCUUUUUGCUUGCUCCUGGGUCCCUUUGGCUACCUCGUUGCGCUCCUCGGCCCCACACAUGCGCCUCCAUGUUUGCGCACAUCCCUAUGGCACCCAAAUGGUGGUAAGGAUCCAAAAACGGGGGUGACGAUCCCCGGACAGGGGGUAACGAUUGUUUCGGGCCCGCACGGCCUGGCACGCCCAGGACGCAAGCCAAGUGGUGCUGUGGUCACAUCUUAGCUACUUGUCAUGCAUACGCACAUUGCAGACUGGGCGGAGUGCCUUGCGUCUCCGACAAGUGAACAUGCCGACAUUCUAGUCUGCAAAGUGCGUAUUGUAGUGACAGUUUGUGUUAAAACAGUCUAUAAUGUGAAGCCUUAAACUUAUGUAGUCUUUGCGCUCGUGAACGAGGAAGUCUGGGGGCUGUAGGCCGACUGUGUGACAUUGUGACAGGGACCCUUGGGCGUGGUAACGACCCUAAGCCAGGGGUAACGGGGUUCCUGCAUGGGGUUCUCGCGGGCCUGACUUAACAAGCAGCAUAGAGCGGCCCCUGAUACUAAUACACAUAUACUGAUAUAGUACCAUACAUAUACUGAUACACUGCACUUCAUGCCGGUGCCGCUGCACUUCUGUUCCUCUCCCCCACUUUGCUCUCUCGCGCUUGCUACUUCUCUUUGUAACACAAAUUUAUGCUAGCUCAAAUGUCAGUAGAACAAGAGCUGGCGGCAGACGCUGCUUGGCUGGCUUGGGACGCGAGUCCUCACGCUGCUGACUGCUCGUUGACCGGCUUGGCAACGCUGCUCACACGUCAGCUGCAGCCAGCUAUUACUUGAGAGAAACGACUAUGCCUCAUAAUCUAUCAGCUGCGCUUCAAAUGUCCGACCGAGAAGUCUCGGCGGUCGCCGGCGUCAACAACGCCAUUCAACAUCGUGUUCUGUCAACAUCACCCUCGCCCCGCACGCCAGAGUCCGCAGGUUAGUCUGCAGGUUAGUCCGCAGGUUGAAUGACGAUGGGAUGCGUUGAACCUAGUGGUACCUCGCAAGCCAGUGUGCAUGGUUCAUCUUCUCGCGCUGUGUUGGGUUGUUUGGUGGAGCCCCCGCCUACAACUAGUGACUGUCUGCUGCCUCCCUUACCAGCGCUCGCUGUAAGGUGUUUUUAUGGCUCCCUUGCCACGGUGCCUUGUGUCUCACAUACCACCCCGCCCCCCUCCGCACGCACACACCCUGCCCCGCGACAGCUUGCUGCCCAACCCCUGUUGUACCCUAUGGACCGUAUGGUUGGCUGGACUGCCCCUACACCUCCAGCAUUGUGCUCAUCAACGGUGAGUGUCCGUGACACGUGUGGGCGCGCACACAUGCACAUGUGCACACAGACACGCCUUGUGUGGUAGGCCCCGUGCACUGCCAAGCACUCUGUCCAUGGCUGGCCUUGACAUGCAUUGGCACCUACCCGUCUUGUGGCAGACGAUUAACUGGGUGUGUCUAUGUGUGUGCACGCAUGCAUGCAGUCGCUGCCGGUGGAAGCAAAACUACAGGAGCCAGCGUGACACCAGCUGUCUGGCGCUAGAGAUGGAGGCGGGCGCGGCGGCGCCAGUGGCAUAGUUUGGCAUGGUAGCUGUGGUGGCGGCGGGCGUCAAGGUGGUGGGUCAGAGACGUUGUGCCCAGCAGACAUGCAAGUGGUUGCUGCCAGUGGCUAGUUGCACGUUCACAUGCAGACAUGACUAGGCGUAUUGUUGCAUGUACAUAUGGACUUGCGGUAGUGUUGCAUAAGUGUUGCAUGAGCAUCUGCACUUGUCGUGCUAUCAAGCCUUGACAGAUGGCUAGCAUGUGGAGUAGCGGUAGGACUACAUAGUUCUUACGUUAGUACUGAGGUAGGCCUUCAGCAAAGCACAAGGCUGCCAUGUAACGGGCGUCAAAGUGAUGGUUACUGGUGUGCCUUGUAGACCGUGACAAGGCUGUUACCAUGGCUGGUUAAGAUGGUAAGCAGAUCGUAGUGAGAUCGUAACGAUGCCGGAGGGGUAACGAUCUACGACCUAGGUAACAGCGAUCGUAACGAUCGUUUGGGUGCCAUAGGGCAUAUCACCUGCAUACACAGCACCACCGGCGUUGCAAGAGGCAUGGUGACAAGCCUUUCCCCGAGAUACAUGCUGUAUCUCACAUGCUGUAUACAUGCCCUGUCCGUUGAGCUGCCCACUGCACACAUGUCUUGGUGCUCCUUUUCAUGUGGAUUGCAUCACGAAAUCUGACUUACCACCAAAAUGCAAAAGCGCCAUUGCCAGCAGCACAUGCACCGAUGAGACGAAGGUUGACAUGAGAAUAAGGCGGCCGGGGAAUUGCAAGCAGAUAUUUGCAUGCAUAAGCAAUUGCAAACUAUUAGGACCCCGUGCGAAAGCGCAGGCAGGGCAGACGAAUGGUUGUUGACCGCGACAGGAAAACACUGCUGUAGACGUUUUGAGCUGAUACAAUGCGAGUUCUCAGUCAGAAACUUACAUUCUUGGGCCUUGAGCCUGUUUGGCCUUGAAUUUUGUGCAGGUCGGCGAAGGUCAGCGACAAAGGCCUCCACUUUGACCAAGUUUGUAGCACCUCCGCCAACCCCUCAGGCAUGCUCGCAAGCUUGUGUCUAACAUAGUUGCUAUGAAAUAGCAUCGUGCAGUAUCAUAGAGGGUUUGAGAACGUGGAACACUGCAUGCCGAUAUCGCUUGCAACAGAGAUAGGCUGUAACAGGCUAGCGAUACAUUUAACAACUUGUUAGUAUUAAAUCUGUAGUGUAUAGUAUGAGUCUUAUAAGAGAUCAUACUAUUAAGUUGAGAAGCUGAAUGUCGGGUCUCCCCAUGCAGCAGCGCUGCCCCAUUGCGCAUGCCAGCUCGCCUCCCUUCUGGUAAUGCCAUUGCUAGGACGCUUAAUCCAAUGUAUGCGGCUGCGUCGGAUGCGGGCAUGGGAUGCAUGUGCCUGCCGCUCAGAUGGGGCCACACAAGCAGGCCACGCCCGGAAACAAGGUUUCCCACAGUGCAUGCACACAGAACACACCCCGUUGGGCUGCCCGCGUGGAGACACACGCAGUUGGGCAUUGCGCUGUGUUGGGCCAAGCGAUGGGCGCUGGUUGCGUCGGAUGCGGGCAUGGGAUGCAUGUGCCUGCCGCGCAGAUGGGGCCACACAAGCAGGCCACGCCCGGAAACACAGUUUCCCACAGUGCACGCACACAGAAGACACCCCGUUGGGCUGCCCGCGUGGAGACACACGCAGUUGGGCAUUGCGCUGUGUUGGGCCAAGUGACAAACAACAAGCACACGCCCACGCCCACAGCCUUGCCCUUGCUCACACCCUUGCACUUGCCCCUGCCCCUGUACACGCAAACGCGCACGCAUGCACGCAAGCACGCAUGCACGCACGCACACAGGUGCACACCCACGCGCACGCACACGCACACGCGCCCGCACAAGCGUGCACACACACCCACAAAUGCACAAGCUCAUGCUCACGUACGCACAUACGCGCACCUCGUGUACACACGAGCACACGCAUACACAAGCCCACAUAUGCACACACACACACUGUCCUACACGUAAUGUUUUCCUUGUGCUCUUUAACACACACACACACACACACACACACACACAUGCGCACACACACACACACACACACACACACACACACACACACACACACACACACACACACACACACACACACACACACACACACACACACACACACACACACACGCCUUUGGCAGAAGGUACGCUGGGAACGGUGACACUUUGAGACGCUGUGGCGGUUGGCCAUUGACGCAGUGCCGCUGCCGGGAAACUCGCAUACGCCGUUGGCUCGCCGUGAGCCAUGCGGCUGUGGGCAGCACGGCCAUGGGGGCGCCGCGGCGGAGGCACACGCCGCCGCCGCGCCCACGCCAUGGCAGCACCACUUCUGGGAUUGCGCGGUGGCGAAGGCCGUUGUGGCGCAGAUCAACGCACGCAACCCCGGUCCGGCUCCCAUCAGCCAAGCCCAGCUGUGGCUGGUCCAGGCGCCGCCGGGUUUUCAGCAGUGUGUUUGGGACGUGGUGGUGAUGGACACGGCUGGGAGUGGAAUGCGUCUUUAAUGUCUACUAUCAAUAGCUACUCGGCAUUAGGUGAGGUGUGAGCAUCAGGGGAUAAAGAAUUCGAGGUGUACGCGACGAACGGAAAACCCACCGGGGUCGAUGGGUUUUUUUUCGUUUCGCACACAAGCCGUAUUCCUCAAUUCUUAUUGUCUGUACCACUUUAUAGAGCCAAACUGUAUUCGUUUGUCAUCAACAAUGCAUCCAACACCAGCCGCAGACUGUGCGAGGAGGGAUUGAUUUCGAACUUAGCUGGCAGACCUCACUAGAAUGACUGUCUUCUCCCGGUUCGGUUGCCUUGGGAACCCCACUCAAAUGCUACAUGAGCUUGGUCGGGCAGUGGAGCGUGCGCGGCAUUGGAAGUCCACUUUCAAGCGGCAAUUCUUCCUCGCGGCAGUUUCGCUGGGGAAGUGUGAGCCCGGCAGCCAGCUGGUGGUCUACAAGGAUGGCGUGGAGUACAUCGGCACCCUGCCCGCAACAGCAAAGCCGUUCCUGCUCUUCGGCACGACGUUUGUCCCCAGCAGGCCGCGGGGGGCGCCAGCGCCCGAGGUGGGCAGCAGAGGACACUGUGACCAGUCCAGCUGCAGACACUUAGGCACCCCCUUAAAUGUACUGCUGUUUACGCAGAACCCCCCCGUGCCAGUGACCUUGAUGGAGCUCACGGGGUCCAAGUCAAAGCCCGAGCGGGCAUGCGACUACGUGCGGGAGGGCGGCGCCCUGCUGGUGCAGGAAAUCAUGGCGGGGCAAGAGGGGUGGCUGCAGGCAGACCUGAGCGGCAAGGCAAGAAUGCUGCUGGAGAUUGCCGCACUGGAGGGCGCUCCCACACCGGGCACCCUCGCAGCAAACAACCCCACGUACAACUACGCGGUCCGCGCUUUUGAGGAUGCCGCACAGGUGCGAAAGGCUUCCCGGUGAUUACAGGUGCUGCCCAACUACGGCCAUGUUGUACUGCUCCUGACCCACGUCCUCCGAUAGAUUAUGAUGGCCACUCACACACUUAACCAUGCAGGAGCUGACCAACAAGGCCGUGGCGCAGCAGCUGGCAGAGGAGCGGGCACAGGCACAGCAGCUGGCAGAGGCGCAGGCGCAGGUGCAGCAGCUGGCAGAGGCGCGGGCGCAGGCGCAGCAGCUGGCAGAGGCGCAGGCGCAGGUGCAGCAGCUGGCAGAGGCGCAGGCGCAGGCGCAGCAGCUGGCAGAGGCGCAGGCGCAGGCGCCGGUGGUACAGGGGUGGUCACCCGAAGACCAACAGCCUGGCGGCUCGGCUGGGCCCGCGGAGUACGUGCCGGCUACAGAGCUCACUGAGGCGGGCAGUGAUGCCGGCACCGACACGACACAGGACACAAAGCAGCUCGGCGCCGCCAGUACCCGCACCAGCGAGCCGCCUGCACGUCGCGUACCUGCUUCUUUGACCCAGCAGCGUAUGGCUGGGGAGGUCAGCAACAGUGGCGCAAGUGGUGAACCACCGAGAUUUACCGUUGCAAGGUCAAGGAGGUGCCACCUGCCCUGCAGUGCGGCCUGGGCCUUGCCGCCGUGCGUCUGCCGGCAACGCUUACAAGGCUGAUCAACCCUCGCCUGAUCGCGGAGCUGGCGUCGCUGGCGGACAAACGCGGAGAGCAGAUCUUCCAGCGCAUCUCAGCACUGCAGGGCGUGCAGGCGGAGAUCCGGAUGAGCGUGGGGACGGGCCAGCGGGUUCAGGUGCUGUGGAAGGACCUCGCGGGCAGCGCUGGGCUCCUGGUGCUCUGCGACAAACUGCGACCGUUGCUGGAGGAGGUCGUGACAGCGGCAGACCCGAAGGGUGAGCUGGGGCUGCACCUGGAGGACGCCGUGCUGCUGGCGAACCUGCCCGGCACUCGUCCGGUUGCCGAGCAGGUGCCCCACUACGACAUGGCGCCAGGGGAGCCCGGGUGGUUCAUCAUGCUCGCCCUCCAGCCGGCAAGCCUGCUGGUGGCGCAGGCCAGUCAGCACGAGGUCCUGCUGUGGGGCCGCGCGUACACCGCAGCACAGGAGGCGGGCCGGACUGCAGCUGUGCUGAAGGACCUCUGCGCCAGCACCCCCCACCGGCGGCUGGUGCGCCUGCAGCUGCCGGUGGGCGAGUUGCUGUUCGUGCACUCCAACCUCGUGCAUGCAGGCGACGCCGGGCGACUGGAUGGCAGCUACUCCCUGCGGCUGCACUGGUUCGUGAAGAGUGCGAAAACAACGAACAACACCCACCUGCCGCGCCAGAUCCACGUGGAGCUCGAGAAGCGCUUUGUGUGAUGGCUCAGACACACUCAGGAUGAAGGGGCGGGGCGGGGCGGGGCGGGGCGGGGCGGGGCGGGGCGGGGCGGGGCGGGGCGGGGCGGGGCGGGGCGGGGCGGGGCGGGGCGGGGCGGGGCGGGGCGGGGCGGGGCGGGGCGGGGCGGGGCCGGGUGGCGGGGCGGCCACAUUGGGAAGGUGAAUAUGCUUGUCAAUUAGGUUGUGUGGGAAAUAGAACAGGUUCAUCAGUGUGGCGGCAAGACAAACCAAGUUGACACGCGCUGUCACUCGUCUGGGUUCUGUCUGUGUUGCACCCUAGCAUUCUUACGGCUUCGUCGUCAGGGUAAAAGCUUGUCCCCUUGACAUAUGAACAGUUUGUGUGGCGAGGUUGUCAUGACCAGGGACUGGAGCGAGAUUAGAGAUGGGCCAGGGCGGGCCCCCUGACACCUCAGCACUGUUUAGUCCAGAAGUUCCCGGUUCUAAUUAAGCCUACUUUUUGGUGGUAGUUGCGACAUCAUUAUCUGACACCGUGCGGAAGUGAAGGUGGGGGUGGGUGGGGGCAGCAGUUGUUUGUUUGCUGCAAUCGCACGUCCAUGGACGCAACUCUAAACUGCUGGUUCUACGGACUGAAACGUUUCAGUCCGUAGAACCAGUACUGUGUGAGAAUCAAGAAGCCACUAGCAAAGCUUAAAGUUACAGGAAUUACUAUGUUGGCGGGCGGCCCUCCUUUGGGCCGGCCAUCCGAAUCAAUCGGCCUGUCCGAAAUGGGCCGCCCAGGCCUCUGGGCUGGGCGCCCAGACUGCCCCUCCCAUCCGAACCUCCCGGUCUGAACUUUUCGGACCGGCUUCGGACCAGCUUCGGACCAGGUUCGGACGUCAAACCCCGGUUUCGGACGCCUUGGUUUUCCCCGAGUGAUAUGGCCACAAGCAAAGCGUCGUUGCAUGCACAAACCAUCUCAUCCCAGCCAGCCGCCGAAUGCAUGCGUGCAUCCCUGCUGCCAGCCUACCGUGGAUCAACUGCCUGCUAUCUAUCUAGUUGCGUGAGUCCGCCUACGACCGUACUGAUCCCCAUAAUGUACCACCACGCCUGCCCUGGCGACCUGGCUUGUCGCAGCUUGUCCCAGGCCUGAUUGGUGGUGCACGGGCAGCUCCAGGGCCAUUCUCCUGGAGGAUGUGGACUGUGAUGGAGACGACCUGCUGGACUCGGUGUGUUACGACCUGGCGGGCAAUCCAGGCAUCAUCGGCUCAGGGAUUGACUGCACGGACACCUGGCCCUCCGUGGCAGCCUCCUAUUGCCCGCCUGUUUUCAACGGUACGAACGCUAGCUAUGACGGGCACGCGCACGGGCAUAUGGCAAUGCAUAUAGAUGCACGUACGACCACCUGCACGCAAAUCCUAUACUGCCUAUAAUCAGAAUCUUUGCGCCUGAUAUGAGUGAUGCUUGCUCCUUUCCUGACCCGGCCUGCCCUUCCCCACCGCUUCUCAAUUAGGGCAGGGCACCAUCAGAUGGGCCACACAUUGCCACCUGCCAUACCUGCAUCAGCACCCCAACUCCUAGUCCCAGCCUGAUUAUACAAUGCACCAUGUGCCAACACUCCAUACAAACGCUGGAAACACAAACAGCCAACUGCCCCACAGCCACCUGGACCCACAUAUCCCUCCCCCCCCCCCGCCUCCUUAGGGGCACCAUCAGAUGGGCCACACAUUGCCACCUGCCAUACCUGCAUCAGCACCCCAACUCCUAGUCCCAGCCUGAUUAUACAAUGCACCAUGUGUCAGCACUCCAUACAAAUGCUGGAAACACAAACAGCCUACUGCCCCACAGCCACCUGGACCCACAUAUCCCUCCCCCCCCCGCCUCCUUUGGGGCACCAUCAGAUGGGCCAUGCAUUGCCACCUGCCAUACCUGCAUCAGCACCCCAACUCCUAGUCCCAGCCUGAUUAUACAAUGCACCAUGUGCCAACACUCCAUACAAAUGCUGGAAACACAAACAGCCAACUGCCCCACAGCCACGUGGACCCACAUAUCCCUCCCCCCCCCCCCUGCCUCCUUAGGGGCACCCACAGGUGGAUGGGCCACGCAUUGCCAUCUGCCAUACCUGCAUCAGCACCCCAACUCCUAGUCCCAGCCUGAUUAUUCAAUGCACCAUGUGCCAACACUCCAUACAAAUGCUGGAAACACAAACAGCCAACUGCCCCACAGCCACGUGGACCCACAUAUCCCUCUCCCCCCCCCCGCCUCCUUAGGGGCACCAUCAGAUGGGCCACACAUUGCCACCUGCCAUACCUGCAUUGGCACCCCAACUCCUAGUCCCAGCCUGAUUAUACAAUGCACCAUGUGCCAACACUCCAUACAAAUGCUGGAAACACAAACAGCCAACUGCCCCACAGCCACCUGGACCCACAUAUCCCUCCCCCCCCGCCUCCUUAGGGGCACCCACAGGUGGGCCACACAUUGCCACCUGCCAUACCUGCAUCGGCACCCCAACUCCUAGUCCCAGCCUGAUUAUUCAAUGCACCAUGUGCCAACACUCCAUACAAACGCUGGAAACACAAACAGCCUACUGCCCCACAGCCACCUGGUGUCACGCCAGGGCGUGGGACCGGACAUGGCGUGGGACCGUGCCGGGAAAGCUGUGAAACCCGGGGUCAGAACCAGUGCGGCUGUCGAGUUGUGAGUCAGCACGUUACUAAGCAGGCACAACUCCCGUGUGCCGAUUACCGUAGCAAUGCUCUGUUUGGCCCUAACUGCCCGUAAGAGCUUGUGUGUUUGAGUGAGCUGGGUUUGUGCUGCUAGGUUAUGCGGAGUGAGGAAGUUGCGUUAUCCGCCAGUCUGACGCGCGGAGGCGGGCGGAAUGAGGCGGAGACAGGUUUAUCCGCCCCGGUAGCUCAAGACAAGUCGUCUUGUCUUGAACUAUCUGGUACUACUUGCUGGUUAGUGAUUUCAGAGACAACGACCAUUCUACAAUACUCGUGGAUAGCACGAAGUGCACAGACAGAGCCGCCUCUGUAACUUUGAGGAGACAAGAACCGAGCACCCUUGAUACGCACAGUAGUCUACGCGCUUAAGAGAGCAGUAAGCCACGUAGCACUCAGUUCAAGACAAGACCGCGAGGCGCCGCGCGCCCGCAUCCUGCUCUCAUUUUGGUUUCUUGGCGGUCACACCGCGCGCAAGCACAAGUAAGCAUUCGGGUACUCUACCUGGAGAUUACCAAGCCAUUAGCCGGGGCCUCUCAGGCUCCGCGCUAGCGUUCAAGGAUUAGCUUCACCGGCCCGACGGGGUUGCGCUACAGCAAGCUACUUCCAGCCUCCCAGACGUCAUUGCACACCGGUUCUAUUGCUUAGGUGUUGCGAGACAUUCUUCAGUUCUGCUUGGGUGACGAGAGUUGCGGGCGAAUUGCUGCACGUUACGGAGCAAGCAUCGUGAUAGGCCAUCACGCCUGUUUGUUUCAGAGCUGCUGCAUAUUAACCAGCUUCCUACGCCACACCUUUUGACUUUCUUCGCAGUGGGCAGAGAGGACCGAGAAGCUGCUCCAGCUACGUCGUCUCACGACCGUCCCUCUGGCUCACGAACCGUCUCACGGGAACGCGUCACUUGGGACCCUCCCAAGCAUCUGCAGCAGGCACGAGGCCGCACCCUUGAACAGGAGCUCCGCGAGCGCAGCCGUGGCCGCAGUGACUCCGAGCGCAGGCGCAGCCGCAGCCCCAACCACAUCAAGAGCAGGCGCAGUCGCAGCCGCAGCCGCAGCCCUAACCCCGGCGCCGCGCGCCCAGGCGCCGCUGCAGCACCCGCACGCUCGCUGACCUCCAGCGAGCGCGCCGCCGUGCUUGCUCUGCUGGUCUCAACAGCUGCUCCCCAGCAGCCGCACCUUGUCGCAUCAGACCCCGACGCGAGGGUGCUUGACACCGACCCGUCCUUCCGGCCACUCCUGCAGCCGGCGGACGGCGAGAAGUGCCUGCGCCUCUGCAUCACGCUCUUGGACGGCGCUCCGCCCCUUGAGCUUGUGGAAGGCUGCCUCAUUCACGGUUGGCAGUCCAAGCACACCACAUCACAGUGCGACGUGCUCCGGCGCGCACGUGCUGCCUACCUAGAGUACGCAGCGUCGCGCCCCGCGGCGGCACCCCGGCGUUAGUCAGCUACAGCGUGCAGCCCGUGUGCAGCGGCUCAGCAGCCUACUGCCACGUCGUCUGCGCGCUACCUGCGGGCUCCGAGACCUCCCAGGUCCCCACACCCGAGCCAGUGCUACGUCUACGAGGCUACCGUACUACUAAGUGACUCUGAGUCACCGGCUUCCAGCAUUCCAAGAGUCCGAGACAUCACGAGCCUCUCAGGCUGGCGCAACGGGAGCUGCACAACCUUCUCCGUCUUCUGCCGCCGGUGCAUCCUGAGCCAAGACCUGACGAAGCAGCCGACCGGCCCGUAGGGGGCACGCGGUCGGGCACGCAGUAUUCAGGGAGUCGCCAGCCUUCACCAGCCAAGCAGUCGGCGGGCUCCAGGCAGCGCAGUCUUUCCGUUCCACGCCAGUCUCCGGCCAAGGCGACAGCUUCUGCGGAUCGCCAAGCCGGUAACAACAGCGGUGCAGGGCCCUCGGCCCCGCGCAUUAGACCAACAGUAGACAACAGCAGCGGCAGCCAGCGCGCCGGUUCACGCACCGACAGCCGGCACACUCAGUCUACCGGCCAGGCGCCUCCACCGCCUGUCGCCGCGCCGCUCUUACUUCAGGCAGCGCCCCCGCUCCCCGCGGCCGCGCCACCUCCGCCACCUGCACCCCUCGCGUUGCAGGUGCCACCGCAGGCACUCCCAGUGCCGCAGUUGGCUGUGCACACCUUCUCCGACUCAGACGACGAACGGAGCAUGAGCAAGCAGUUCAAACCCAUGGAUCCCUGGGAUCACCAUCAGGUGCCUCCGCUCGGCAAGCAGCUCAGAGAGGACCUGAACAGCGCGCGCAAGUACCACGGCAACUGCGCGUAUGAUGCGGUUCCGGCUGACGAGGCGCUGCGCCUCAUCGACGCCGGCCCCGACGUCAACACCCCGUACCACUUCUGGUGGUCCAAGGAGCGUCCCACGCUCCAGGCGCGCGCGCUUGCCCACCACCUUGCGGCCAACCCCGCGCCAGGCGGCCAGCAACCGCCGCCCCUGUGCGGCCACCACGUGCUGGACUUCUACAUCCAGCUCCUGCACGACCAUUUCGCCCUGGACCGCGCUAGCUACUACGAGGACCGCUACAACAGGCUGCAGCAGGAGGAUGAGCAGACGCCGUCUUCGCUGCUGGCUGAGAUGCGGCAGUGCGAGCCGCACCUGCACGCCAUGCCGCAGGACAAGUUCGCGAUGGACUUCCUGCGCAAGCUGCACCCUCGCAUUGUGACCAACGUCAGGAACCGCUGGGACAUCAUCCCCGUCACCAGCUGGUACGGCCGCCUCUCCGACAUCGCCAAGGACGCCGACGUGGUUUGGGACAACCACCGGCGCGAGGCUAGCUAUCAGAAGCGCAUCACCGCGGUCUCUGCAGCUGCCAGCGCGCCCUCGGCUAACCCGAGCACCUCGGCGCCAGCCGCGCGCAGCUCCAAGCCCUCGUCCAGCUCCAGCGGCCCCGCCGCGGCACCCAAGGCCUCGUCCAGCUACUACUGCCAGCACCACGGCGCCAACCGCUCGCACAACACGGAGAACUGCAACGUGCUGCAGAGCAAGCGGUCCACUGCGCUGGCCACCAGCUCCGGCCCGCCGCCCUCGCAGCAGCAGGAGCUGGCGCGCAUGUUCAACCAGUUCGCAGCUCAGUUUGGCUUCAACGGCUACUCGGCGGCGGCUACCAGCACUGCUGCUCCCGGUGCGGCGACCAAGUACCAGGCGGAGGCGGACCGGCGCGGCGCCCGCGGCCGCGGCUAUGGCGGCGGCAGCGGUGGUGGCGGCGGCGGUGACGCGGCCGCCCGCGCAGGAGACGUGGAGCGCUGUGACUACUGCCGGCUGUCUCACCCCGGCAUCUGCUACGUCAAGUACCCCCACCGUGCUCCGCAGAACUACCGGCCACGUGCGCAACACCUGCAGGACCUGUUCGCCUACAACCUCAGCAGGGCUCCCCUGCCUGACACCAAGGCCGGCAACGAGCAGGCGGGCGGCACCAAGCAGGCGGCUGGCAACGAGAAGAACGCCGCCGCGGCGGUGACCGGCUACGACGACGGCGAGGACGAGCUGUACUACGGCUACGUGACCGCCCUGGCGGACGAGAGCCCAGCAUCCAGCAGCAGCGCUUCGGCCUCCCAGGCCGCCGGUCGCCGCGGCUACUGGUUCCUCCACGGCGGUGACAACUGCGUUGCGUCCACCUGCAGCCAGCCCUGGGAUGAGCCCGACCUCGCCUGCCUCUCGGUGGCCUGCGCCGAGCUCAGCCCGGACUCCUGCGCAUGCGGCGCCCUCGUCACUGGCCUGUGCGACAAGCUGAUGAUGGAGUGCGAGGCUCCUGAGGGCGGCCCCGGGGGCUCCCAGCCCGCGCACGCCGCCGAGCCGCUGCUCGCGGCGAUGGCCACCCUCAAGCAGCAGCCGGCGCCGGUGGGCUUCCAGCCGGCUCCCGCCGGCACGCCGGCGGAGCCGCCGCAGCAGCUUCUGAGCCCGUCACUGGCGCCGCACAACCAGGUGGUUUCCUCCGCAGUCACGCUGCUGCAGGCCAAGGCUGACCGUCUUCAGAAGGACAUCAGCCAGAUGGUGAGCGAGUUGGCCGGCGAGACCCGCUACCAGCUCAUGAUGGUCGCGGCGGCCUCCCAGGCCGCUGAGCGUGCAAGUGACAAUCCGCCCGCGGCCACGUGCGCCACCUGCACGCGUGAGAUUGGCGUGCCUGUCAACUUCUGGACCGACACGCCCUGCAUGUACACGGUCGCCAACGCCCCCCUGGGCGGCGCGGCCGAGGGCUACAAGCUGUCACCAGACUUCCGCCCCAUCACCAGCGUGCCACCGGACGAGUUCACCCGCCAGCUUGAGGAGAAACCCGCACUGAAGGCCUACUUCGACAGCAACCCGGAGAUGUUCUACUGCAACGUCGGUGAUGUGGCUGUGGGCUUCGCGCGACCGCGCAACCAACCUCUGCACGCCCUGCCCCAGGUGCUGCGUGACCACAGCGCCAGCGUCAACAUCGUGACGUCGUCCUUCGUGCGCCUGCACCGUCUGCCGACUCGACCAACCACUUCCCGUCUGGCUACAGCUUCCAGCAGCUCUGAGCGACAGCAGCUGGAGCUGGUGCACGAGCAGCUGGUGGUGAGCAUCAAGCCUGGUUCGGCCUUCAACGUGCGCAUCCCCAUGACCAAGACCCUGGUCGUAGGAGACACACACCUGUUUGACGUGCUCCUGGGCAACGAGCAGAUGAAGCCGGUCGCCGACUAUGUCACCGUGCUGCCGAAGGCCAUGCUGCACUACUUCCCCAACGUGCUGGAGUUCCCCGACUGCAUCGUCAGCCUGCCACUGCACAGCGCCAACGGCGUGCGGGCGGCCCUGGCCUCCGUCGAGAACUAUGCAGCCUGCUGCACCAGCCUCUGCGACCCCGUCGCGAAGCUGGGGGGGGGAUGCAACUCUCCGACUGCGCUCGGCAACAGCACCAGCAGCAGCGGCACCGUGCCCGGCAUCGCCAGCAGCAGCACCGAUGUGCCCGCACCCUGCCAGGCGCCCAGCGGCACCGCGCCCAGCACCGCCGGCGGCACUGGCGUGAUCAGCGGCAGCGUGAGCGCAGACUGUGCGGCCUACCUUGACCGCCUCCUCGCAGCCCGCCUCGCCGCCGGGACGGAGCUCACACCAGCUGAGACGGAGGCACUGGAGCAGGCACUGAUUGCAGCAACGGGGAAAUCCUCCAGCAUUCACUGCGACCUGAAACCCCACAACUACCUGCUGGAUAAGCCGGUGCUGCCGACGCCCAAGCCCGCGGUGCUCAGCUGGCGCACGCGGGGCAGGCGCCGGGUGCGGUGGUACUGGCGGCAGUCCCUCGACCAGACCAGCACUGACGGCGACUCCCAGGCUACGCAGUCCCACUGCUCCAGCGGCGGCAUCAAGUCCGAGGCCCCACUGCACACCGCCAGCGCCCAGUCCGACGUCCAUCCGCCCACCGGCAUCUCCGACGUCCCUCCGCCCACCGGCAUCUCCGAGCCCAGCACCGUCAUCGGCAACGCUACUGCGGCUGAUGCCGCCCACGCCGCUGGCGGCAGCGCCAAGGCUCCCGCAGUGGGCUGGGCAUCCAAGGCCGCUUCGGCUCUGAGCCAGGCGGCCGUCAAGGGCAUGAGCUACCUGACUCUCCCUGGUCUCCAUGGCCGCCAGCGUCGGCGCCGUGGGAGGCACUUUCAGCGGAGCACCGGGUCUGCAGGCUCUCCAGCACCUGGAGGCCGUGCAGGCGGCGCUCAGCACCGCUCCACCACACCUUCGCGCGCGCUGGGACGCUGCGCACCAACCUCCGUCCUCAGUCAGCAGCGCGGGCCCCCCGGGCCUCUCGCACGUGCUGGCCAGCGUCGAGUCGUUCACCUUUGAUGGCAAGAUGGCGGCUGCCGCCUCCGAGCGCUACGAGAAGGACAAGGACGGCGGCUGGGUGUGGGGCAACGCUGUCGGCAUGACGCCUGAGCACGCCGCGCUACUACGGGCCACGGUGCGCACCCGCAAGUCCUCUGCCUUCGCCUACAGCAUGGAGGAGCUUCCCGGUUACUCUGGUGAGCUUGGCGCCUUCCGUCUGGACCUGACCACCGACAAGCCUGUCAUCCAGUCACCGCGCCGCUACAGCCCCAAGGAGGUCGAGGUCAUCAAGCAGAAGAGUGCUGAGCUUCUCAAGCCCGGCAUCUGUGUUGAGUGGACAGGCCCCACCCAGGUGGCCGUCAACCCUGUCAUCGCCGCCAAGCGGGACGAGGCCACCGGGCUCUGGACAGGAGCACGCAUGGCGCAAGACUACCGCCCAGUCAACAAGGUGACCAAGCCCGACAAGUACGGCCUACACCGCCCAGAAGACAUCUUCCAGAGCGUGGAGAAGGCGCGUUUCUUCAGCAAGCUCGACAUGCGUCAGGGUUUCCUUCAGAUCUCCAUUCACAAGGACGACUACGGCAAGACGGCGUUCUGGUGCGGCAAUCGUCUGCUCGCCUACACCCGCAUGCCCUACGGUCUCAAGAACGCGUCCGCCGCCUUUCAGCGCCGCAUGGACCACGAGCUGCGGCGUGCCGGCCUGGACAAGGUAGCUGUGGCCUUCAUUGACGACGUACUGAUUGCUACCGAGACCGCUGAGGAGCACGUCGAGGCAGUAGCAAGAGUGCUUGACACGCUCGCAGCGUGCGGGCUCCGAGCCCAUCCUGACAAGUCCAUCUUCGGCGCCGACGUUAUCGAGUACCUUGGCCACAACCUCUCCACCUUCGGCAUCUCGCCUCAUCAGGCCAAGGUCGCCGCAAUCUUGGCCCUCCAGCCGCCCAAGAACGUCUCGGAGCUUCGUACGCAGCUGGGCUUCAUCAACUACUACCGCUGCUACAUCCCGAACAUGAGUGAGAUCGCCGCGCCGCUGAAUGAGCUGCUCAAGAACGACGCGCGCUGGCGGUGGGGGCUGGAGCAGGAGGAAGCGCACCGCGCGCUAAAGGAGACCUUCAUGCGGCCCGAUGUCGUGUUGCGCCGCAUUGACUACAGCCGUCAACUCAUUCUCCACACCGACUUCUCCAACAAGGGCAUCGCCGCGGUCCUCGGCCAGCGCGAUGAUGAAGGUCGUGAGUACAUGUGCGCCUGCAUCUCCCGCUCCCUCAACAAGCACGAGGCCAACUACAGCUCCUACAAGGGCGAGAUGCUGGCGGUCGUGUGGGCGGUCAAGAUGCUACGCCAUCACCUUAUCGGCUCCGAUGUUCCCUUCAAGCUGGUGACUGACCAUCAGCCCCUCCUCUACCUCAUGAGCUCCGAGGGCCUCACAGGCCAAUAUGCCCGCUUCGCCCUCGUCCUGCAAGAGUACAACUUUGAGGUCGAGCACCGCCCCGGGAUCAAGCAUCAGAAUGCGGACGGGCUCUCGCGCAACCCUCGGCCCAGCACCGUGGACGGCUCUGGUGCCCGGCUUGACGAAGACGAUGACGACGGGCCGGCGACGCUACCGGCGGUGUCAACAAGUGAGGAGCCGCCAACCGCCGCUGCCGUGGCUGCCAGCCUCUCAGCUUGCGAGGUCGUCCACGUCGCCCUUGCAACCGCCGUCCCGCUGGCGCCCUUCUCUUCUGACUUCAUGCCCAGCACCGAGGAGGCCAUCUCCGGAUGGAACGGCUGGGGCUACGAGGCAGCCGCACCGCCGCCUGACGCUCCCGAUCGUCAGGGCAAGGCUGCCCGAGCAUUGCUGCGCAGCGCAGCACUCGAGUGGCGAGCGGCCAGCAAACUCCGGCGGCAAGGCAGUGGCUCACCCUCGGUGGCCCCCUCACCGUCGCCUGUGGCCGUCAGCGCCUCCGUGUGGUUCGACAACGCCCUCCGCCAAGGCGUCACGUUGUGGGAGCCUACCGGCGGUCUGGGUGGGGCCCUUGAUGCAGUCCUGCUCAACGGCAUUCCAGUCAGGCGCUACCACUACUCAGAUUCUUCACGUGAGGCGCGCUCCGCGCUUCACCACCGCCUCUCAGGCAUCACGGACCUGCGGCCGGAGCUAUUCCCUGCCUCCGCUUGGGACCAGACGCUUCUCUCUCUCCCGCAUGGUGCCUCGCACGUGGCGGAUGCGGACUUGCGGCUGCUGGGACAGGGCGGCGAGCCGAUUCUCAUUGCAGCUCAGUGGGAGUCAGGGGACGUCGUCACACAGGCUAACGUACUCAGCUUGGCGAGCCGCGCUCGUCAGCUGCUGGGCGAGCAGCGCGUAAUGCUGCUCUGCCACGUCUCCUGCACCAACACCAGCACCCCACCACCGGAGCAGCGUGCUGCCGAUGCGGCGGCCAAGGAGGCCUGGGGCCGCCCGCUCGUGUCAGACGCAGCGCGGUUCGGCUCUGGCUUCCAUCAGCUCUACCGCACGUGGACAACGCUAGCUGACCCCGCGGCCCUGCGUGACGUGGCGGAGUCAGCGACGCGCCCCGCCGCCUGUGAUGCGCAGUCCCUCUUGGGCGUCGGCCGGACCGUGCCCACCACUGCCAAGCCGCUGCGUCCUCCCUUCUACCCCUGCGACGUCGAAGGCAAGCCAGUGAAGGCGCUCAUGGCCUCCGCCGCCCGCGCCAACGUCAGCGCCGAGUCAGCCUCAGGCGCCUGCCCCAUCUUCGACGCCGAGUCAGGGCGCUACACACCUCCCACGGCUGAUGAGUGUGAGCGCCUGCUGGGCUUCGACGGACCUGUCACAUCGGCGACCGGACUCAGUGAGCAGCAGCGCAAGGCCCUGAUCGCAUCAGCGGCAAACGUCACGCAGCUGGCCAGCAUCAUCGCCAUCAGUCGCGUGCUGGCGGACGAGGUCAACGCUGGUACCCCCGCCAGUGCGGCAGCCCUGGUCACGUGGCGCACACCCGCCGGCGGCCUCGCCAUUCCUCUCACCCGGACCCCUCUGUCGGCCAAUGACACCAUCAUCGCAGCGCUCGCCUCCGCAGCCCUGGAGCCUGAGGCAGCUGCAGAGGCCGCCUCUCCUACGGACGCCUGGUCGGACGACGCCCUGCUGGACUAUCUUCGCACCGGUGCCGUCAACGCCAGCCUGCCCCAGGCUGAACAGCGACGCCUGCGGCGCCGUGCGGCCCGGUACCGCUGGCAAGGCGACCAGCUUCACAUCGUGGGGCUCGACGGCCGCCUGCGGCAGGUGCCGCGCCCUGCCGAGCGGGGUGAGCUGGUGCGGCGCAUGCAUGAGCAGGCAGGACACUUCGGCGUGCGCAGGACCUGCGCGCUCCUGCUGCAUUCACACUGGUGGCGCGGCAUCACGGACGAUGUGCGCAGCGCUGUCAAGCACUGCGAGGCCUGCGACCGCGUCAAGGCCUCCUACUCCAGCCGCCAGUCCGAGCUACACCCAUUGCCCAUCGGAGGACUUUUCUACCGCUGGGGCGUAGAUCUGUGCGGCCCCUUCAACCAGACUCAGCAUGGCAACCGCUACGUGAUGGUCUGCGUGGAGCACUUCAGCAAGUUUGUGCUCCUGGUGCCCAUACCGUCCAAGCACGCCCACGUCACUGCCCUCGCCUUCAAGCAACACGUGCUGGGCGUCUACGGUUCCUGCGCCGAGGUUUGCACAGACCAAGGCAGCGAGUGGAAGGGCGAGUUCGCCACAGUGCUUCUCGACGCUCUCAUCGACCAUCGCCAGACCUCUGCUGAUCAUCCCCAAGCCAACGGUCUCACCGAGAGGGCUGUGCAGACCUGCAAGAAGGCGCUCACCAAGCUGGCGCUCGGCGCCGGCGCUGUGACCGACUGGGACCAACACCUGCCGUCCAUUCAACUUGGCUACAACUGCUCCGCGCAGUACUCCACCAAGCUCAGCCCGUACACCCUCGUCUUUGCCAACGACCCCGUCGUCCCUCCUGCGGUGAGGCCUCGCUUUGACCAGGACCUGGACUUGGAUGACCCCGAGGCAGCGGCACGCUCCGUGCUGCUGCGCGCCGCCGCCCUGCGGCGGCACAUGGCCAUCGCCGGCGGCAACCUGGCAGUGGCGCAGCACCGUGACAAGCUGCGCUACGCCCGGAUGCGCGGCGGCGGCUACGACCCCAAGAUCCGCAAGCUGGAGGUGGGCGACUACGUCUACUAUCGAAACACCAGCGAGCGCACCGCACUGGAAGCCCAGUCGCGGCCUGACAUCCUUCGCGUGUGUGACCUGCGUCAGUCGGGAGUGGUGGUGCUCGAGGGCCGCUGCGGCACGCAGAUCACCACUCACGUCACGCACGUGGCACCCUGCCACCUGCCCAUUGCUGACACCGACACGGAUCCUCGCCUGGCACGCCCGUCUAUCACCCUGUCCUGCGAAGUCUGCAAGAUGCCCGACAACGAGGAGUGGAUGCUGCUGUGCGACGCCUGCGGCACGGGCUGGCACACGUUCUGCCUCAGCCCGCCUUUGGAGGGCAUCCCCGAGGGCUCAUGGGUCUGCCCUACCUGCAGCAGCAAGGGCGUCUCCGCGGACAGCCUUCGCCAGGAGCAGACGCAGCGGCGUGCGGCCACCGCGGUGCCCGCCAAGUUCCAGAAGCUGCAGGGAGCGCUCGCCAUGCGGGCAGCCAAGGGUCGCCGCGCGCGCAGUGCGGCCAACUCAGGCGUGGUCAGCUACGCAGGGCAGCGACGGCGUGUGCACCAGUUCCUUAUUGAGUAUCCCGACGGCAGCAGCGAAGUGGUCACCCACACGCAGCUGCGUCCCCGUCUCGUCUCCCAGCCCAGCUCAGCACUGGCCUCAGCCGUCAGUGCGGCCCCGGCGCUGCCAGCGCUCGUAGGCAACGCGUGGCCCGGGCGGGUCAGCUGCCCCGCGUCCACUGCUUCAGAGCUGGCGGCACUUUCCCAGGUGAUCAACAUUGAGCAUGCCUCGGCUAUCUACGCGCCCUGGAACGUGCCUGACGCGACCGCGGCCUGGCUGCGGGCGCACGGCUGCCACCUGCGGCGCGGCAAGCCUACUCAGGGAGCUGCGGCGGCGUCAGCGGAGUGUCUGCAGCGUGCCAGCGAUGACGGUGUGAAAAUGAAUGUGCUGUGGUGCGAGGCCGAGCCAUUAGUUGUAGAUGCGUGCCUUGACGAGGCCCGAGCGUUUGUUACUGAAGCUAUUAUUGCGCGCAUGCCCCGUGAUUAUGUUGCUACUGCCAGCAAGGCCCGCCUUGCCUGGCUGCGGAAGCGCCAUGCGUGCGGUGACCUGAUCAUUGCUUCGUGCGCGACGUGUGUGUGGCUGAUUUAUUUAGGAAAGGGUGUCAAACGGUGGGGGUUUGUCACCGGCGCGUCCGCCGGCGACCCCGUGCUUUGAUUCAGUUGGCGGUUUCAUCUCCUGGCGCACUAGGCGCACAUGUACUGUGGGUGCCUGCUUCUUCCAGCCCCGGCCUGCAUCUGCGCCGUGGCUGGGGGGGGGGAUAAACAUCAGGGCACGUUCUGUUAGCAUCAGCACGCAUCAGGGCGUGACAGCUGUCACGCCAGGGCGUGGGACCGGACAUGGCGUGGGACCGUGCCGGGAAAGCUGUGAAACCCGGGGUCAGAACCAGUGCGGCUGUCGAGUUGUGAGUCAGCACGUUACUAAGCAGGCACAACUCCCGUGUGCCGAUUACCGUAGCAAUGCUCUGUUUGGCCCUAACUGCCCGUAAGAGCUUGUGUGUUUGAGUGAGCUGGGUUUGUGCUGCUAGGUUAUGCGGAGUGAGGAAGUUGCGUUAUCCGCCAGUCUGACGCGCGGAGGCGGGCGGAAUGAGGCGGAGACAGGUUUAUCCGCCCCGGUAGCUCAAGACAAGUCGUCUUGUCUUGAACUAUCUGGUACUACUUGCUGGUUAGUGAUUUCAGAGACAACGACCAUUCUACAAUACUCGUGGAUAGCACGAAGUGCACAGACAGAGCCGCCUCUGUAACUUUGAGGAGACAAGAACCGAGCACCCUUGAUACGCACAGUAGUCUACGCGCUUAAGAGAGCAGUAAGCCACGUAGCACUCAUAAACAUCAGGGCACGUUCUGUUAGCAUCAGCACGCAUCAGGGCGUGACACUGGACCCACAUAUCCCUCCCCCCCCCGCCUCCUUAGGGGCACCAUCAGAUGGGCCACACAUUGCCACCUGCCAUACCUGCAUCAGCACCCCAACUCCUAGUCCCAGCCUGAUUAUACAAUGCACCAUGUGCCAACACUCCAUACAAAUGCUGGAAACACAAACAGCCAACUGCCCCACAGCCACCUGGACCCACAUAUCCCUCCCCCCCCCCCCCCCCGCCUCCUUAGGGGCACCCACAGGUGGGCCAUGCAUUGCCACCUGCCAUACCUGCAUCGGCACCCCAACUCCUAGUCCCAGCCUGAUUAUUCAAUGCACCAUGUGCCAACACUCUAUACAAAUGCUGGAAACACAAACAGCCAACUGCCCCACAGCCACCUGGACCCACAUAUCCCUCCCCCCCCCGCCUCCUUUGGGGCACCAUCAGGUGGGCCAUGCAUUGCCACCUGCCAUACCUGCAUCGGCACCCCAACUCCUAGUCCCAGCCUGAUUAUACAAUGCACCAUGUGCCAGCACUCUAUACAAAUGCUGGAAACACAAACAGCCAACUGCCCCACAGCCACCUGGACCCACAUAUCCCUCCCCCCCCCCCCCUGCCUCCUUAGGGGCACCCACAGGUGGAUGGGCCACGCAUUGCCAUCUGCCAUACCUGCAUUGGCACCCCAACUCCUAGUCCCAGCCUGAUUAUACAAUGCACCAUGUGCCAGCACUCCAUACAAAUGCUGGAAAUACAAACAGCCUACUGCCCCACAGCCACCUGGACCCACA
RNAcentral lists this long non-coding RNA (57337 nucleotides) under Chlamydomonas reinhardtii. RNAcentral's name for it is "long non-coding RNA (CREI_LNC000442)". Lineage: Eukaryota; Viridiplantae; Chlorophyta; Chlorophyceae; Chlamydomonadales; Chlamydomonadaceae. The record is from RNAcentral.